This 72049-nucleotide long non-coding RNA is filed under the name Olea europaea (common olive). RNAcentral's name for it is "long non-coding RNA (OEUR_LNC002110)". The record is from RNAcentral. Lineage: Eukaryota; Viridiplantae; Streptophyta; Magnoliopsida; Lamiales; Oleaceae.
AAAAAUAUAUCUGUAUGAUGGCAAAUAUAAUGCAUCAGAAGUAAUGAAAUUGCACUGCAGUUAAUCUGCUCGGUAGUAGUGGUGGUGAGGUGUUAGCAACGUUUCGAAUACUGUGUGAUGACAGUAGUGUUAUAUUGUAGUUGACGAGUUUUGUGAUUAAUUGUGCUGUAUGUAAACGGAUUUAUAGUUUGUGAUUAGACCGUAUUAUAUGUGACUAACUAUGACCAAACCGUUUGUGACCAAGACAGUGCGUCACUGACAUGUGUUGUCUGUGACUAAUUGUAACCAAAUUUGUAUUCAGUGUGACUGUCUGUGACCAAUUUAAUAUUUACAGUGGUGGUAUGUGAUUAAGUCAUAAUCGAUCACAGUUAAUAUAGAAUUAGUCACAACUAUCACAACAAACAAAUACUUAACCUCAAAGAGUCACCAUAAACAAAUAUUCACGCGCUGUAGCCCAGUAACCACAAUCCACCAUCAGUUACCACCACCUUCACUUCCAACUUUAUUACAUUCAUUGACCUUUGUUAUCUGUGACUAUUUGUAACCAAUUUUAGCUUCAAUGUGACUAUCUGUGACAAUGUCAAUCUAAUUUGUGACUAUAUGUAAUCAAGUCACAUGCAAUCACAGUUAUUAUAGAUCUAGUCACAAACAGUUACAAUGAAAAUAGGCUUGGUCAUACUCGAUUUUCGUCGUCAUUACCACCACUUCCAACAACGUCAAUCAAAUGCACACUACCGUCACUUUCAACAAAUCCUAACCACCACCAAUGCCAUCACCAUACCACUUCCACUGUGUGAAAAAUCCAACAAUAGAUAUGUCACAUACAACCUUAGAUAUAUCACCACCAGCAAAGUAGUACUUAUGUCAUGAGCACCAUCGCCACCAUCAUCACCACCACUUGUACCUUAAUCCACAACCACAAACUCCACCACCACCUCUACAUCAAAUCCAAACCCACCAUUACCACCACCACCUGUAUCUGCAUCACCACCACCAUCAACAACUACAAACACUAUCACCGUAUCGACAACACAGCACAUCAACACAUCGCAUCAUCUAAACUCCACCAUCGCACCAUCGCCACCGUGCGCGAUGCCAUUGCCUGAUUCGUGUAGCGGCGAUCACCAUCCCAAACCUCUUCAAAAAUCAAAAAGAAAAAAAAAUUGAUCACCAUAACUACGACUCCGUAGCAUCGGAGAAAUUAAACUAAGAAAAAAAAAGAAAAAAAAAAGAUCUUUUGGUAUCAAAGUGGAUGUGCACCACUACUCAAGCCUCCAGAUUCUCCGCGGAUCUCGCCCCAACAAAUUUUUCCCAAAUCACCGAGAUGCGCUCACUCCACGUGCAGCGACAUCAUCGCCCCUACGCACUCCGCACAGUAGGUGCAAAGGCGCUCACGCCACCGCAGCGACGUCAUCGUCAUAGCCUGCACUCGCCACUAUGGUGGUCUCCAAUCAUUGUCUUCUGACUAUUGUGUGACAGAGAGAUGAUAAGAUAAAAUGGAUUAGGGUUCGAGGAGUGGGUGGAAAUGUGUAAGGAGCAAGAAAAAUGAGGGAUAGAAAUGAAUUUGGGGGUGCCAAUAAAUUUGUAUUAAUUAAAUUAAUAAUUCUUAAUUAACACUUGAUUUAUGAAAAACUAAUUCCCCUUAUUUAUGAAAUUAGUUUUCCAAUGUAGAUUUCUAAAUAAUUUGCCCAACAAUAAAAUCAAAUGUAAUUACAGGGCCUAUGUGGCCCUGUGCACCAAGUGUGAUUAAUCAGUCGUAUUGUACCUUGUUUGAGAAGAAUUAUUCGUGAUUAAUUGGAGAAAGCAAAAUAAUUUUGUGACUAUCAUGUGUUUUAAUAAUUUUAUAUUAUUAAGCCCAUAUUUAUUUAUUAUUCUUUAAAAGUUCUUUUUUCUUAAAUUUAUUUUAAUCAUACAUUCUCACGAUAAAAUAUUUUACACAUAAAUUAAAACAAAAAAUCUACUUUUUAACAAUCAAUUUUCAAAAAAUAACUUUUCUAAAACUCAUUUUUUUUUUAAAAAAAAAAAUUCUUUUUAAUAGAGACAUGGGCUACAAUAGAUUAAAGAUCCAUGCACUCCAGAAAAUAAUUUUUUUGCAAUCGAACUACAUCAAAAAUUUGAUAUACAAUUUUUAUAAAUUUACGUAAAUAGUUAAUAAUUAAUUAAUUAAGGGUUAGUUUGAUGCAGAUUUUUAAUAAUAAAAUUUAUGAAAAAGUUAUUUCUUUAAUGAACAUGUGAUUAAAAAGUAAGGAAAUAUGUUCAUUUAUAAAAUUGUUUUAGCGUGUUUGGUAUGCUCCAAAUUCCAUGAAAUCCAAAUGUUGUGUUUGAUAGGCAAAAUUUUUCAUGAAGUUGGUUUUCCAUAUAGUCCCCCACAUGACCCCUUUUCCAUGUUUUGAAGGAAUUGGUUUUCUUUUGGUUUUGGUGAAAAUUGAUUUUUCAGCUCUCUCUCACAUUUUUCAGAUGAAAAAUUAUGCCAAUCAAACACAUUUAAUUGACAAUUAUCAGUAAAAUAAAUUCUAGACAAUUCAGUUCCCUAAAAUUCGUUUUCUUUCCAUCCAAAUUUCAUUCUUACAAUCAAACGAAUUCUAAGAUAAUAUAAUGUUGAAAAUAAAAUUUAAAAAAAAAAACUCUAUCAAAUAGAGCCUAUGUACGUGAACUUUUAUUUAUGUUGAUAAUAUCAUAGUUGGUGGGUCGCAAAGCUUUAUAUAUGUUGACAAUAAUUUGCAUGUCCCCACACUAUUUAUUAAUUAGGUGAAGUGAAAUGUUGGUGGGUGAAUGAAAGGGAACGUGGGAAGGAUCGAGCCUCGUUAACCUAAAUUCAUUCACUAUUAAUCUAUUGAUUUUGUUUUUAAUAGAUUUGAAGAAAGUUGGAGAUGAGGUACGAGAUAAUUUAAACACAAUUAACAUUAAUGAUAUAUAUUUAGUAUGAUGAAUUAGACAAUAAUGUAUAGUAUUUAUAUAUAGAGAGAAUAUUUUUCAAAAUUAUAGUUUUUCUAUAAUAUAAAGUAUAAUUUCUCACCAACCAUAAUACUGAGGGGUUGACAUGAAAAUAUUAUAAAGUGGACCUAUAAUUGGGCUCUCUAUCAAUGGGCCCACUUGAAUGAUAGGAGAUGCCAAAUGAGACACUUGGGUGGCAACCGUCAGAUCGCAUUUAAUUCGUGACCGAAAGUCUCUUUUUGUGGGACACCUACCUUCAGGGGUCGCGUCAAAUCUAUUUGGAUUGUCGAGGGAUCAGAACAAAUUAAAUGAUAAUUGCAGUUGCAGGUCCCGAAAUUUUAAAUUAUGAUUUUUAUCCUAAUAUUUCAUUUAUAGCUGCAUUGUUUCCAAAUCUUUCAAGUCCGUGCGAAAAAAGGAUCUCUUGAAAGUUAAUUCUGUCAAUAUUUUUGGGGUUUUGUUAUUUGUACGUGGGGUUGAUGCGUAGGUGUACAGCCCCCUCACAAUAAGAGAGUUCACGGGUGUCAGCCCCAAUUUACACUAGUAAAAUCCAUAUUUUUUACCAAUUUUAAAAAUGAUAAAAUAAUAAAUUUUACAUUUUUUCACUAAUUAUUAAAGGAUUAUUCUAUUUGUAUAUUAAGAAUUAUAUCAAGGGUUACAUAAUGUACAUGUGGCAUCCUGUCAUUAGGUUAGUUGAAACCAUACACCAAUGCAAAUUUCUGGCUAACCUUAGAGAUUCCAUUGAAACUUUCUAUCUGAUUUUUCACUGUCAAAUUUUUUAGGAAAAAUUACAGCCGAGGUACCAAAUCUUUCGUUUAUUAGCAGAUUUUGCACAAACCUUUAGUGCCAGCCACAGUCCCAAACCUUUCAAAAAUAUGCACCGGGAAUUCAAAUGGAUGGAAACCGUCCGUUUGACCGUUAGUUGACCAAUAAAAUUGAAUUUUGACCAACUUAAAAUGGUAGAAAGGUAAAUUUGCUAUUUAAUUCUAUAAUAAAACAAAUAAAUUAAUAUACCAAAUAAAAAUAAAAGAAACAACUAUUCAUCUUCUACUACUCCCAACCCCACCCCCACCCCACCGCUGUUGCAAUUUUCCCAAUAAAAAAUGCUGGAAGAAUUGGCUUCUUGCUUCGAAAAACUGGAAGAACUGGAAUUUGGUGUUAGGGACAUGAAUCUCUUUUUCUUCCAUUUUUCAAUGAUCUGCCAUUGUUUGGGAAGUUUACAUCAAAUUUCUUAGCAUUUGCUGCUUUCAUUUACUUUUUCCUACAUUUCUUCACCGUUGCUGGAAAAUUUUCAUUAUGGGAUAAAUGUAUCAAAGAAUCCGGUGAUAACUUGUCGCAAUUCAACACGCAAUAGAUUUUUAUUUUCUCUUCUUCACACAGAGAGUUCUGAGCCUGAAAAAACCAAAAAUCAGUCCAAUUAAACCAGUUAUUUUGGGGUUGGCCAAGUAAAAUUUGGGCCGCGCCCAAUCCACUCGAAGACAAAUGAAAUGCAGAAUCAGUUUCAAGCAGAAGAACUGCAAUGUUUUUCGGACAUUGAAAAAUGGAAGAAAAAGAGAUUCAUGUCCAUAACACCAAAUUCCAGUUCUUCCAGUUUUUCGAAGCAAGAAGCCCAGUUCUUCCAGCAUUUUUUAUUGGGAAAAUUGCAGCAGGGGUGGGGUUGGGGGAAGAAGAAGAUGAAUCGUAGUUUCUUUUAUUUUUAUUUAGUAUAUUAGUUUAUUUGUUUUAUUAUAGAAUUAAAUAGUAAAUUUACCUUUCUACCCUUUUAAGUUGGUCAAAAAUUGGUCAAAAUUCAAUUUUAUUGGUCAACUAACGAGCAAACGGACGAUUUCCAUCCAUUUGAACCCCCGGUGCAUAUUUUUGAAAGAUUUGGGGCUGUGGAUGGUACAAACUAAAGGUUUGGACAAAAUUUGCUAAUAAACGAAAGGUUUGGCACCUCGAUUACAAUUUUUCCAAUUUUUUAUUAGCUUCGCGUUGAGAGUAUUGAAUUGAUAUUUGUAAGAGAUUUGGUGAGUGAUGUCAAAAAAGUGGAGUUACAGAGAUCAUUUUCGAGCGAGAAAUUCAUGUGUGUUUAGAAUAUGGAAAUUUGUCUAUAGAUGUAUGCAUACAUCAAACCAAGCAAACUAAGUUCGUUGUUUUUAAUUAAAAACAAAUAAAAUUGACAUUUGCAAUUUUCAUAGAAGAAUAGUUACAAUGCUGGAAGACAAAGUUUCAAUUAUGAAACUAAGUUCUAAAUUUUAAUCAUGAAAAAAGUGAAUAUAUUUAAAACCCAACAUUCAUAAAUACUACAUAGUUAUGAUUUGAAACUUCAGCCGACUAGACCGUGGUUACAUGUUAUUACCUAAGACAUAACUAUCGUAUUUCUACUUGUUUCACCAGUGAUGAACAAUUAUGCUGCAAGUUCAGUAAUAAAACUCGGUUGAACAUCUUUUGCCUGUUGCUUGUAAUUUUCACACACUUCUUUUACAAUGAAAAGGAACUAAACUACGGUGAUCAACAAGUUACAUAUAAUAAUGUUUGGACAUGCCCAAAAAUAAGCUAAAUUUACUAAUUUACUUUUAAUUAUUUAUUUCGUCAAAUAUAAUUUAAAUUAAUUUUAUAAGUAAUCAGCUUACUUUCUUAAAAAUAAGUUUGAUUUAGCUCCUGUGUUGACAAUCACUAUUUCAAAACUCUUCAUUGAACGCAUUCAUUUUCAACCACGCAUUAACAUAAUAAAAUAUUAUGCACAUUAAACCAAAAUUUGUCUUACUUUUCAACAAAAAAUUCAAAAAAUUAUUUUUGUGAAAUAAUGGCUAUCAAAACAAAGACUUAUCGUUAUUUUUUAAAAAAGUAACUUUAAGUACAAUAAUAAAGUCCGUUAAAAUUUGUUCAGAUCUACAUUUGGCUUGGCGUGGGUGGAGUUGAAGAAGAUUUUUUUUUUUUUUAAAUUCUUUGAUUAGUAAAUUAAUUUGUUUUUUUCCCUUUUUUAUGUCCUCCUCUUUUGCAUUUUUUGGAUUUCGCCUUUUUGUUUGUUUAAAAAUAUGGGCCAAAAAGUCUUCUUACACUACUUUAACACAACUUUUUUUGAUGGAUUUCGUUAGUGAGAUUUGUUUGUGUUAAUUAAUGAAAGAUUGUGCGGAAAAGGAUGGGCAAAGUGAAACUUUGAGCAAAGUUGGAGACUAAAUAUGCAAUUUACCCUUAUUCUUUUGUUUAUUUCAAAAUCAAGGGCAAAUUUGUCUUUUCAAACACAACUAAUAAUAUCAAUGUUUUUAGACCCGGACAGGACCGAUAGAUUCAACUGAAAAAAUUGAGAAUCAAACAGAAAUUCGGUCUAAUCAUAGCAUGAAAACCACUGAACCUCCAUUCUCUCUCUCUCUUUGCUGCCCUUGUACAAGGUUUUUGUCAAAACAUCCAAAACCAAUCUUAGGCAAUACGAGUGGUUAAAUAGAUAAAUACAACUAUGCUGUAAAUAUAUUUAUUUGUAAAUGACCAGUAUACACCUACCGUCCUAAUUUUUAUUACCCUUGUAUUUUGAUUCUUCCGUAUAAAUAUGAGAUUUGAUUUCCAAUAUAAUACAUACAAAUAUAUUGACUUUUCUAGUCACUUUUCUUUUUCUCUUUAGUUUUUAAAACGUUAUUAACACGAUUCUCUCAAACUCGUGAAUUAGUUAAAUUUAAUAAUUUUUAUAAGUAUAAUCAUCCGUCAUGCGUAUCAAAAUUAAUUAGGCGACAUAUUGAUUUUUCUAUAUACAUAGGCAUCAAAAUGAAACUGUUUCUUCUUCUUUACUUUUUCCUUUGUAAGCAAAUCCAUAAUGAUUAUUUUAUUGUAGCAUAAUGAUGACCUUUUUAUGCAAACCCAUACAUGCAAUCAUAACACGAAUUUCAUCCGACGAAUUUUUUGCAGCUACAGUUACAGGCCCCUACCAGGGAAGAUACAAGGUGAGCCUCACAAUAAUUUUUUUUUUAAAAUACAGGUGGCCCCCUCCACACAGUGAGGGGCCUGUAAAGCCCUUGUGAAAGAAUCUUUUUAGUAAUGUGAAUUUCUUAGUGGUUAAAUAGAUAAAUACAACUAUGCUGUAAAUAUAUUUAUUUGUAAAUGACCAGUAUACACCUACCGUCCUAACUUUUAUUACCCUUCUAUUCUAAUUCUUCCGUAUAAAUAUGAGAUUUGGUUCCCAAUAUAAUACAUACAAAUUUAUUGACUUUUCUAAUCACUUUUCUUUUUCUCUUUAGUUUUUAAAACGUUAUUAACACGAUUCUCUCAAACUCGUGAAUUAGUUAAAUUUAAUAAUUUUUAUAAGUAUAAUCAUCCGUCAUGCGUAUCAAAAUUAAUUAGGCGACAUAUUGAUUUUUCUAUAUACAUAGGCAUCAAAAUGAAACUGUUUCUUCUUCUUUACUUUUUCCUUUGUAAGCAAAUCCAUAAUGAUUAUUUUAUUGUAGCAUAAUGAUGACCUUUUUAUGCAAACCCAUACAUGCAAUCAUAACACGAAUUUCAUCCGACGAAUUUUUUGCAGCUACAGUUACAGGCCCCUACCAGGGAAGAUACAAGGUGAGCCUCACAAUAAUUUUUUUUUUAAAAUACAGGUGGCCCCCUCCACACAGUGAGGGGCCUGUAAAGCCCUUGUGAGAAAGAAUCUUUUUAGUAAUGUGAAUUUCUUCCCAGCUUCUUCUUUUCCGCCACAAUUAAUUUGUGUGUAUGCAAAAGCUGUUUAUAAUUCAUGCAUUUUGAUUCAUAUACAAUCAAUUCUGUCAUAUAUUAUUUACGUAUUCAUUCUACCACAUAUUAAUUUUGCCUUGAACUUCUGUAUAUAUGGAAUUCUUGUGAGACAUGCAUGAGAUUUAAUAAGGUAUGUUUAAAGAGUUUUUUUGAUUCCUAAGAAAUUUGACAUCAGUUGGCUAUUGAAUCUUUAAUGGACGAACAUUAAACUGAAAUCUACCAUUCUUGUACCAGGCGCACAUCUUAAAGAGUUAUUUCAUUUCUGAGAUUUUUUUUUAAAUACUUGUUUGGUAAUUAAUUUUUAUAUAUAAAUUUAUAUCUUAUCCAUUUGGUAAUUAAUAUUUUUAGCUUGAUUUAAUAAGCAAUUUUAGGUGAAAUUAUUUCUUUCUAGAUUUAUGUAUGAGAGAAAAUAUUUAUAUUUCUUUUUAUUAUUUUGCUAUUAUUAUUGUGAUUUAUGUCUAAGAGAAAAUCUUUGUAUUUCUUUUCAUUAUUUUGCUAUUAUUAUUUUUUACUUGCAAUUAAAAUUUUUUUUUUGGUCUUUUCUUACAAUCUGUAGGAUAUUCUAUCAAAAAACUCCGACAUUGAAAUUUACAAAGCUCAAUAAUUUACUUCUUAAUCUGUAAAGAGGGGUCACCUCUAUUUUUAUUUAAUGCAAAUAAUAUAUGGCUUUCUAUAACAACAAAGUUAUCAAUUUCUCGAUUUUUUAAACAAAUAUUAAUAAACUCUUUAAACUUUCUAUUGAAUAAUAAAACAAAGUAGAUGAAAUAUAAUUAUCUAAUGGGAAAAAAUAUCAGAAUUUAAACACAAUGUCAUUAUAAUGGCAUUAGAGGUAAAGUUCGGCAAAAUUAAUUUCUUCAAUUUUUUUAACUCUCUCUUAACUUUUUCUUGGCCUUCUAAAAAUGGCUUAAAACUGUAAUAAAAAUGAUUUUCAUCAAGUUUAAAAAUGUUUGAACAAACUCCCUUAAUUGGGAUACAAAAUACCAACUUAACUCUGAGGAUUACUUUUUCUUUUGGCUAUGGAAUUCAAAAUAAAAAGACUAAGAGCAUUAGAAAUAUGUUUAAAAAAAUAAAUAAAAUAUUACUCUUGAAGAAAUCAAUUGCUUAAUUAGUUGGUGUUCCCUCCUUUAAGCCUUAUUCGAAAAUAAAUAAAGUAAAAGAGAAUUAUAAUAUAAGAGAAAAUAUAAAAAGAACUUAAAGUAUGUCUAUUGGCUUUAUUUUCCACAUAUUUUUCUACUUUUGGGGUGUUUGAUUGACAUAUUUUUUUCAUGAAAAAUAUUUUAUAACUUUGGAACAUGUGACUAUAUUUUCCUUAAAAAUAAGGAAAAUAUUUUUUAGGGAGACUUGGUUUUUUAUUUUUCAUAUAAUUCACCUUUCAAUAAAAAAUAGACAAGUAUAAUAUUUUUUAAGUUAAAACUAAAUCAAUCACACACAUUUAAUUAUUAAUUUGCAUACAAAAAAGUUUUAGACAAUUUAAUUGUCUACAAUUUAUUUUCAUUCCAAUCAAAUUUCAUGUUUAUAAUCAAACACACCCUUAUUUUAAUUUGAAGUAUUUGAAUUUACAAAGAUUGCCAGAGGAUAUUUUUUAGUAUAUGUGUUAUAUGGUUUGCUGUGUUUUUUGGUGCAUGUUCUAUUGUAUGUAGUAUAGGUAUUUAUAGAUACUGGUACAUUACGUUUAUUCCUUUAAAAAGUAAUCAAUACUGUAUAAUUUUACAGAUAUGUGAUUUAUAAUUAAAGAAUUAAAUGUUACUUUAAAGCUGUAUGAAAAUAAUAAAGAUACUUCUGAAAACUUCAUCUUCACGCUCAUCCUUUUUUUACUUUUUUUUUUGGUUUUUGAUAAUUGUUCGUCGAGUACUAUUCAUUUAUCCUUGCUUAGUCUUUUUUUUUUUCAAGUAUUGUACUAUUUGUCCAUGAUCUCUAUGUAGACAUCUUCUAGAUCUGCAUCCAUUUCAUUAGUUUUGCCAUCGGACAUCUACUCUUCUUCUGUAUUUGAUUGACUUUCAGUUAAUUCCCCAUUUGUUUCUUGAAAACGAUUAGAUAUAACUCUUUUUGUUGAAUAUUUGGUACUGAAAUUUUUCUUUCUUUAACUCUUAUAACAAGAUGUUCUUGACAGAAAAUAACUCUAUUGUUUCACUAUGCUAUAAGUCUGGAAUCAUUAUUUUGAACUUCGACCAUUGUUGCAGCUUUUGAGAUUCGUCUUUCGUAAUCAAUCUGUCUAUUUUUAUUUUACUAUUUGUCUUCAAAGAAGGUAUAAAUCUUUUGGUUCAUUCGUAUAUUAGAAUAUAACAAUAAACUGGAAUUACUAUACCAUCAUUUACAAGAGGUGGUCUAAAAAUGAAUUGGAUCAUUAAAUGGUGAUUUUUAUAUUGUAAACCAAAUAAAUAUAAUGACAAAAAGAAAGACAAAAUUUGUAGAUAUGCUACUGGAAAAUAUGAGAUAAAAGGAAAAUACUUAACUAGUUUAGAUUAUGAAACAUUGGCCAUUAUACAUAGCGUUGAAAACUUUAAAUUAUUUUUAAAUACUGAAUUUACAAUUAGGAUAGAUUGUGAAGUUAUAGUAAAAUUUAUUAAAAAGACAAAUUUUGAUAAAAAUAAGAUAUAAAAGAUGGUUGAAAUUGUAUGAAAUAUUGAAUGGUUAUAAAAUCAAUAUAGAACAUAUAGACAGAAAAAUAAUAUUUUGGCAAAUAAUUUAAGUAGACGAGCUAUUAAUUUUUUAACCAAUUAUUUUCAUGGAGUAGAUGAAUUAAAGAAUGAUGAAUUUUAGAAAUGUCACUCUAAUAGUGGCCUCACAAGGAUUUAAUCUCUGAUUUAGAGGAAAUAAUUUAGAAAAACUUUUAGAAAUGAAGUGUUGUCUACUAGAUAAUCUCUAAAUGACAAGCGACUCUAAAAAUAGUAAUAAUAAUAAAAAAAUAAAAAAAUUAUACAGCAUUAAUGCUCUAACUAAUCAUUUCAGAAAAAUAUACAGUCGAGUAGAAAACAUAAAUUUUAGUUUCUUUGCAAUAAUUAAUGGUAGAAAUCUUGAUGUAUAUAAUUACUUGCCCGAAGUAUUACAACAAGUAGAAAUAUUUUUGGACCCAUUUUUCAAAAGAUUUUACACAUUAGAAGAAGCUUUAAAUUUAUGUAGAAAAAUGAUAGUAUUUAAAUUUUAUAUAUCUGAAAGAGUUAGACAGACUAAGACAAUGCAAACCGCAACUUCUAAAUUAUCUUCAUCUUUAUCAAUACAACUUUGCAAUAGUUGUGAAAAUUAUGACCAAGGUUGUUAGAGAUUUGAAUCGUAUAAAGCAUUCACUAGAAUAAAGACUACAAGUCCUUGAAGUUGAAGUCUUUUCAUCUCAACAAGCCAUUAGUAAAUAUCAAAAUGAGAUUAUUCAGUUACAAGAUAACUUAAAAAAACUCAGUUCUAGAGAUAUUGUUGAAAGACCCAUCUCUAAAGAUAUUACUUGUACAAGUUAAAAUUAUUCUGAGAAGGAAUUAUAUUUGUGUUUUUAUUAUUUUGUUUUUUAGGUUUAAAAGUACAAAUUUUAAAAUGAAGAAAAAAUGUAUUAGCAGGUUGGAUUGAUUAAUUGACGGAUUGGUUGCUCAAACGAUAACCAACUCGACCCAACUUUUUCAUGAUUAAAAUUAAUCGAACCAAAUCGAUUUCUUGGUUCAAAUCAACCUAAAUUGACCUGACUUGAUUUGGUUUUGUUGGAUUGAUUGAUUUUUAUUUUUGCCAAUCCUGACGAAAAAGCACAAUUCUGUAAAUAAUAUAUAGCUCUUGAAGAGCUAAUAUUUCUAAAUAAUGGUUUAUUGUUGCUCAUAAAGUCGCACAACAUUAUAAUUAAUAUUUCAGAAAAAAUUAUUUGUUCUUGAAAUGCAUGAAUUGUAAUAUUCUGUAUCCCAGAAGAAUAUUGACAUAUUACUUUUGAAGAACUUGAAUUAACACAUGCAUCGAAGAAUAUGUCAUUUUGAAUUAGUGUUUAUCCUUAUGAAAACAUAUAACAUUUGUCAUGUUGAUAUUGAUUAAUUUGACUACCUAAUUGAUUAUUAUAUGAUUAUAUAAUGUUUUAUCAUAUUUCUUUGAAAUUUAAUUGUGUUUCAUUUAUUUUCAUUGUUUAGCUAUUCAAAUGGCAAGCAUUACAAAACUCGGGAUGAAUUGCCAAAAUACAUCUUUAGUUGAUAGUGUAACUACUAUGCUAUUCUUCAAGACAAAGGUAUUCUUUUGGACUUAACAUUAAUAGAAAACAAUGUUAAUACAAUAUCAGAUGCAUCAAAUAUCGUUAAAAGUUCUAGAAGAACUUGUAUUAUUUUAUCAAAUAAAUACAAAAUGAUAUGUUGACGAUACACAUUAUUCUAGCAUGUCUGGGAGAUAAUUGCUUAGUUUUUUUUUUUUUAUCCAAUUCUAGAUAUCACAUUGGAAUUAAUCAAACAUUAUUACCAAUCCGAGGUUCGUGGAUUUAAAAAGUUUUAUACUUUUGCAUGACUAGUUAGACUAUCACUAGAUCAAUAAUGAUGUGAACAAUUAUUAAGAAUUUAAAUGGAUAUUCAAUAAAAAAAAACUAGGAAAUUUUUCAGCCCAGUGAAUUCACAUAUGAUGCUUGUUCUUUGUAUCACAAACUUAUCAUUGACCAUCACUAGGUAAUGUUGGAAUUAAAUCCUCGUAGUCUUGAAAAUUAACUAGGAUGAUAUAUGGGCGUCUUACCAUCCUUCACGUUGACCAUCUAGAUAUUUUUGUAUUUAAUAAAUGUAAUACAUCUAAUAGAUGAUUGCAUGGUAUUCGCAACUCGAAUUUUACAAAAUUGUUGUUAAAAUUUAAACUAUUAGCAUAAUUUUCAGAUUAUAUAAUCAAGACAAUGUGUCUUAUUAAUACUAGUGAGCUUAAAUGUCAACAUUUUAAUAAGUGUUAGUUGAGAUAUCAAUAAAUGGUAUACUGUUACUUGUUAAACGCAUCCAAUCAAUUUCUUAAUCAUUAUUAUUGAAAAUAAAGUACUUUCCAUUUUUGUUUAGAGAACAUUAUAUAUCAUGCCAACAUCAAAGUUCUCCCUAUUAUAAUCGAUUUAUGGUUAGAGUCUAAUAUUUUUCAGGUAAUAAUUUUUGAAAGUGCAAUAUAUGUAUAAUUGUUUAAUUGCGGUGCAGUGAGACGGAUAUUGAAGAAUGUUGAUAAUACAAGUUCAGUUUGAACCCUUAUAAAAUAUCUUAAUCUCUAACAGAUGAUAUUUUAUAACAUGAUUUUAUUUGAUUAUCAAUUUGAUUGAGCAGUUUUCUCCGGGGAAGGAAUUAAGAAGUUAGAAAUAAUGUACAAAUGCAUCAUUAUAUAUCUAGAUUCUCGUAAAAGAAAAUUUGAACCCAAAGUCUGAAAAAUAAUUCACCUAGAUGCCUUUGUUUGACUAAAGAGAUUAACAAUAUUUUAUACACAAAAUUUAAAUGCUCAAACUUGAAUUGACUACUGGAAGGACAAUUUAUUAAUAUUAUAUUUGAUAUAUUAAUAAUACGUCUGAAGUAUGACGACAUUCGAUUCAAAGCCUAAUUCUCUAAAAAGAAAAACGAAGCAAAGUAAGGGAGAUGAUCCUAUUUAGGAGGCAUAUAUUCUUAAAGAACAUAUAAAUAAAACUAAUUAUUAAAGAAGAAAUGGAAUCGAAAAAGAAAAAGGUUAUCGACAACACUUUUUUCAAUAAUGUAUUCAUAUUAUGAUAACGAGGAAUCGAAAGCGAAGUAAUGAUCAGCCAAUAAAAGGGCACGAUUCUCUAGUAAAUUUGAAUUUACUAGAAAGGGUAAUUAGCACACAAGGUUCCUGCCUUUCAAUGUUAUUUUACAAAACGUUUAUACAUUUUAUUUUUUGACAUUUUUGCCCUUAUUUCAACAUUCGUUGGAGAAAACGUCACUUUCACCAUUUUUUAAUGUAAAAUAAUCAAAAUACUCUUCCAUUUAAAUAAAAGAAAAAAUAAAGAAUAAAUUAUAGAACGUUCCUACAUUUCAAAUUGGUGAAAAUGACAUUUUUUGUAAUAAAACGUGAGAGUAGAGAUGAAAACGCAAAAAAAAAAAAAAUGAAAGGUAGUGAUGUUUUCUGCAAGAAGUGUCAAAUAAUAUUUGCGUUUUCGUCCCUAUUUCCACGUUUCAUUACGAAAAAUGUCAUUUUCACCAAUUUGAAACGUAAGGACGUUUUUCACACUAUAGGCCAAACGUGGGGACGUUUUGUGCUAUUAGGUCUUUUAAUAAUUAUUUGGACUCACUUGCACUUUUUAAAACAUUUAGGAGUAAGAUUGUAAUUUAUUAUUUAUUUUUCUUUUUUUUUGAUUUUAUUUAAAUGGGAGGGUCUUUUGGUUAUUUACAUUAAAAAAUAGCGAAAAUGACAUUUUCUGCAAUGAAAUGUUGAAAUAAGGGCGAAAAUACCAAAAAAUGAAGGGUAUGGAUGUUUUGCACAAUAACAUUGAAAUGUAGAAACCUUUUGUGCUAAUUUCCCAUACUAGAAAAAUUAGAAGUUCCUGGACCUGCAGUCCGAAUUGUUGAUAAAAUCUUAUAUAAAAAUGAUAAUGCUUGAAGAUUAUGAUAAGACAGUAUGAAAUGUACUUCAACAAUUUUGAACGAAGACAAUAUAGUUUGUAUUACACAACUCGAAGGAGACUAUAUUAAAGGGGCAAGACGAAUCAUAUUUAUUUAAAAUUCUUCCAUACACAUGAGCUACAGAAGAAUGUUGACAUCGAUGUUCAACAAAUUCGCUCUAGUGACAAUAUAGUUGAAUUAUUAACAAAAGUACUGCUGAUAUCUAUAUUCUAGAAAUUGAUUCACAAGAUUGGGAUGCAUCGACUCAAAUAUUUUUAGUGAUCAAUAUCAAGGGGAGUAUCAGUACUCUUUUUCCUUCUCUUAAUUUUUAUCCCAUUAGAUUUUUCUGACAAGAUUUUAAUGAGACAACAUUUACUUUUAAUACUUCAAAACAAUCGUACUAUUUUUCCUUAAUUUGAUAUUUUCAUCUCAUUGAAUUUUUAUUGGAUAAGACGUUAAUGAAGCAAAUAUUUUGUAAUGUAUCAUUUAAUGGGAGUGUUAUAUAUAUAUAUAUAUAUAUAUAUAUAUAUAUCUUUUUCUCUUUAAUUUAGAGAGAGAGAGAGAGAGAGAGAUUCUAGAAUUUUUAUUGCAUUUUCAUUUUAGGGUUUGUUAAUGAUUAUAGUAUGUUUUGGGCCUUUUGGCUCAUUUACUUAACCGCUUAAUGUUAAAUUGCUCAUGAGAAUCUCCAAAAACUAUUUUAUGAGACACCAUCUAUUUUAAAAAGUCAAAUUUAAAAAUUAUGAUCCAAGAUACUAUUUAAAUUAACAUUUUCAUUUAGAGAGUGGAUAAUUUGGAGAGCCAAACUCACCCUCUAUAAUUAAAUGCAUUUACUCUGCUAGGGAAACAUGUUGAUUAUUCAGGUCGUUUCAAAGUGUUUCAAUUUUUAAUAUAAUAAAAUAAUCUAGAUAAAACCAGUUAAAAUAAAAGAUAGAGAAAAAUAAUAAAUAUUUUUGGGCGCAAUAAAAUUAAGUGUUAAUAUAAAGAGUUUGUUUGAGUACUUCAAAAUUUUAACUCUUUGAGUUUAUAGAUUCUUUUCAAAUGAUAGAAUAUACUUUUUAAAAAUAGAAAAACUCUUGAAGAUACUUUUAAUGAAUGCUAAACAUGGAUUUUAAAAUGCUAUUUAAAUUAAUAGAAUUUUUCAAUAUAAUAUAUAAUCUAUUUAUUCAUUUAUUAUCCUAAGACCCUCAAACUUUUUUGGGUAGAUGAUUGGGUCGAUUUUCAAAUAUUGAAUCAUAUUAAGGCUUAAUUCACACCACAUUUUAAUUGAAUGAAAUAUUCAUAAUCUUUAGUUAUUAUCAUACCUAUUUCCCCAACCUUUUUUGUUGUAUUCUUAUCUCGAGUUUUUAAUUAAUUAGUACAUCUUGUCUCUGAUAAUGAUUUCUCUCAAAAAACUUUUUAAGAGGGAAUAAAAAGAUAUAUUUACCCCUAGUUUAUUUAAUAAGCAAAACAAUAAAAAUAAAUUCAAAAUUUUGUUAAAUACUUGUCCAUCAUUUUAAAAUACAAUAACAAAAUUUUUAGAUGAAAAUGGUCAUUAAGGACAAGAUUUAAUAAUUGAUGAAAGAUUAAUGAUAAGAAUGUGAUGAAAAAGUUAAGAACAUAAAUGUAAUAAUAAAUAAAGAUUAAAGACCAAUAAUACAAUUAAAAUGUGGUGUAUUUAUAAAAAAAUUUGGUGCGAAUAUAACCAUCCCAAUAUUAAAGGGGAAUGGUUGUAGAGACAACAGAGUAAUCUAGGAAACGUUGGGGUCGACAAUGUCAAGAAAUGAAAGUUAGAAAUAGAAGCACAAAAUGGAGUAAACAUUUGGGGCAAGAGCCACAAUUUAUCCAUUUCUAUAUGUUUAUGUAACUCCAUUUUAUGAAAAGGAUUCUCAUGUUAUGAUGUCAAAGAUUCAUUUCCAUACGAAUAAUAUGCCUUGGACUUAUAUAAUUUUAUACUUUUUAUUGAGAAACAUUAUUUUUAUUAUGAAAAUAAUUUGUGCUCUUUUUAACGUUAUAUUUCUUCCAUAUUGCAUUUCACUUCUGAUUACAUGCUACCAUUAACAUAAAAAGGGAACAAUUGGCAUAGACAAUUGUAAAAUGAGUUGAGACACUUUGUUUCUUCUUAAUUUUUGUUAUCUUGGUGCCUCACUUUUUGUUUGUACAUAGAAAUAUAUCAUUUCAAAGGCAAUGUCUUUUGUAGUACACUAUUUUGACAUCAUUCUGUGUUCUAACAACGAGUGAUAUGUCAAGAUAUUAAAUAUUUACUGGACAAAUAACUAAUAGAACAGCUAAACAAAACAAUAUCAGCUUAUUGCAAAUCCGUACAUUAUAGAGCAAACAAGCUCUAAAUGAAUAAAAUACACAAAGUCAUACGGUUUUGAUCGAAAUUUAUUCAGUGUAAUGGUCUCUCGUAGUCGUUGACUAAUGCAGUGAUAUGAUUGAAAUGAGUUUUAAAGGUAAAUGAAAUAAUGAAACGAUUUCAAAAUUUAAUAUUUUCAGUGUCAUGUAGGAUUUUCUGUUAGAUAUGAACGGUCAACUAACUUGGUGGUCCAAGAAAAAUGGGAUUAACAAUUCUGCUUGUAUAAUUAACUCUUAAUAAGAAUACAUAUACCUAAAUGAUAAAAUAUGCAAUGCGUGCAUUGACCUUGGACUAUUACCUUCCACCGGGCCCCACAAACACUGUGUAUUCGCAUAUUCCUUUUUGAAUCAUAUAAUAUACGGACACGAUUAUUCAUUGAAACGAUUGAUUGCCCUCAAUAAUUAUUUAUUUAUACCUUAUAAAUCCAGUUUCACAUUGAUUGACGAUUAUAUUUAUGCAAAAUUCAUAUUAUUUUUAUCUUAACAAAAAGCGGUAAGGCUAUAGUGAGAAAAACAAGAAAUAAGUAGCAAAUAAAUAAUAACUUAUUCGUACUGACAGAGAAACUGCUCAUAUUUGAAAGCAUAUUUUUGUAUGAAACUUUAUAUAAAAUCAUUUUUGUUAAUGAGAUUAGUAUUUGAUUAAGGGAAACUUGCAGUCAAUGUACCAAAUCUUUCGUUUAUUAGUAAACUGUGUCCAAACCAUUCAUUUGUUCCACCGUAGAUACCAAAUCUUUUCAAAAUUCACAUUUCAAGUUCAGAUUGANNNNNNNNNNNNNNNNNNNNNNNNNNNNNNNNNNNNNNNNNNNNNNNNNNNNNNNNNNNNNNNUUUGACCCCCCCCCCCCUCCCCCCCAAAAAAAAAUCUUUAGUUGACCUCAAAAAUUAAAAAAUCUAAUAAUUUUGACCAAGUAAGGCAAGGGUAAAAUUGUAACUUUAUAAAUUUAAUAUGAAAAAAAUAUAAAAAUUGUUUAAAAGGGAAAAUAAAAAAUCCUAUCUCCUUCUUCAAAACAAAACAAAAUGGCAAGUUGUGUUGGGUAUUUAGGUGCUAUGCCGGCAAUGUGGAGCUAGAUCGGAGGUGAUGUAUACAUGAUACGUAAAGUGUGGGUGGUAUAUGAACUAAACUGGUGGCUCGCGAUGAUUGAAGGUUUAGGCGAAAAUGCGACUGGAAAUCAUACGCACAAUAGCGUCAAGUGGGAUGAACAAUAAGGGAAGAUGGCGACGAAUUAGUAGCGGUGCAUAGUGGUUCAGUCUGGUAUUAGGUUGGUUGGGUGUAGGCGGAGGAUGGUGGUGCAUUGGCGGUGUCGGGGGUUGUAGGAUGAGUCAUGGGUUGUCGUGUAGUUAUGGAUGGGAGUUUGGAUUGGUGUGGUAUGGUGGUCAAGCCGUGGGUGAAGUGGUGGUGCCGGUGGACAUGGAUGAUAACUUAAACCUCGCCUUCAACCUACAAGCCAUCUACGGACCCAACGUUGACCCAAUCCAACCUCAAAGUCAACAACCUAGCAACUCAACUAGGGUGGGUGAGGACGAAAGACCUGAGAUCGAUUUGCUUGAAUUUUUUGGCUGGACGAGUCCCAUGUGCUUGCCCGGAGCUGGAUGAGAAGCUGGAGGAGGAGGUGAGUGGGGAUAUUCUAGGUAAGAAAUGUGUUCGGACUACUAGGAAUCCGGUUGCGACCAUGGCUCGGUGUCAGGUUUCGGAGUGCGAGACCGAUAUUAGCGAGCUCAAAGGGUACCGUAGGAGGCAUUGGAUUUGCUUGCGGUGUGCCAAUGUGAUUGUGGUGAUCAAGUAGUGGGUGAGGCGGUGAUACCAGGGGCCGGCAACUGGAUGGAGGUGGUUUUGAUUUUGGGGUAAGGGGAAUUAGCAAAAUUGAAGGAGGAGAUGGGAUUUUUUAUUUUUCUUUUUAAAUAAUUUUUAUUUAAUUUUAUAUUAAAAUUAUUAAGUUACAAUUUUAUCCUUGUCUUACUUGGUCAAAAUUAUUAGAUUUUUGAUUUUUGAGGUCAACUGACGGUUUUUGGGGUCAAACUAAUUGAAACUAUCAAUCUGGACUUUAAUUGCGAAUUUUGUAAAGGUUUGGUAUCUAUGGUGACACAAAUGAAAUGUUUGGGUAAAGUCUGCUAAUAAACGAAAGGUUUGAUACUUGGUUGCAAUUUUUCAUUCGAUUAAUUAGAUGUAAUUUUAUUAGGAAACACAUGCCAAAAAUAAGCUCCUUUUUGGGCUUCAUUUUAUUCAAAUUGUAUUUUUUCUUUCUUCUUGUUAAUCGCGUUUUUCAAUAAAAUAAUAUCAUAUGUAAUUUUUUUUUAAAAAAAAAUCAAACAUUCUUUUAAAAAUUACUAUUUAUAAAUAACUUUUUCCCAAAAUUUAAUUUUAGCGGAGACAAAAAAGGGCUUCCAUUAAAAAAAAAAAAAGAAGAAGAAUAAAAUGAUUACUUCUAAGAUUAAUACAGUAAGGCCCCGUUUGAUUGCAUGAAAUUUUCCAUGGAACUUGAAAUUAGAAUUCCAACUUCUACUUUUGACCUGUUUGAUUAACAAAAUUUUUCAGGGAAUUGAUUUUUCAUGAAUUUUUAGAUACAACACCUUAAAGCGUGAUUUUCCACCUUUUAUUUUCCAGGGGUAGGUGAUUUUUGGUUUUCUAACUUUUUUUUUUUGCUUUUUGUUUUUUUUAAUUGUUGGCAAUGAGAACAAAUUCUAGGAACAAUUGUAAAAGAGGAUAUCCUUGAAAUUGACAAUUCUCAUGUAAAACAAAGUCAAACGAAUACCAAAAUAUAGAUGAUUUUUUGAUUUUUUUUCCUUUUUUUUUUUGGUUGGCAAUGGAAACAAAUUCUAGGAACAAUGGUAAAAGUGGAUAUCUCUUAAAUUGACAAUUUUCAUGUAAAACAAAAUCAAACGAACACAAAAAAAUACUUUUAUUUUAACAUUUUUCACAUGAAAAAUUAUACCAAUCAAACACAAUAAUUUAUAAUUUUCAGAAAAAUUUUUUUAGAUAAUUUAAUUCUUUAAAAUUUAUUUUCUUUCCAUCCAAAUUUUAUUUUCGCAAUCAAAUAGACGCUAACCCUAAAAGAUGAAUACAAGAAUAUCUGUUGCAUUGUUCAUAAAAGUCAAAGUCGGAGAAAGUCACAACAACUUUCAUUGAUUUAACGUUUUUCAUCAGUUUAUAACUUGUCGUUUGAUGGUUUUUUAACCCAAAAAAUCUUCAAAAGCCAAAAGCAUUGGUCCACUCGCAGCUAUUUUAGAACGGAAAUUACUAGAUUUCGUCAUCAAGGCUUCGAGUCUUUCUCCAGCCGGAAAAAAUGGCGUCAAAUCUUACAAUAAGUACCGUAGAAGGGAAUUCCGAUUACGGUUUUGGUUCAAGAGUUCAUUAUCAAGAUCAGUGGGGGAAUUUCAGCAGUGGUGGGAUUAUUUCUGAAAUUGAAGAAGAGUUUUCAAAUGAAUUGUUAGAGAUAAACAAUGAAGUUCCUUUGAAUACGAUAAGUGAAGAAGUUGAAGGGAGUGUAUUCUCGUUUGAUUUUCACAAUAGGGAUGAUGUUGUUUAUGUUGUAGUAGGGACGAGUGAAGAACCAAGCAUGGAUGCACUUAAGUGGACUCUGAAAAAUGCUGUGAAUCCUUCAUCAACUCUUGUUUCUCUGAUUCAUGUCGUUCCUGAGACAAAAUACAUCCCUACACCAUGUAAGUUCUCUCUCUCAACUUACACAUUCCCUAGUGAGAAGUUUGAGUUAGGUUUACCGGCAGUCAUUCACAGCCCGGAUUUUAGGUUCGCCAGUCACGACCUUUCUUUUGGCAUCCGGGUCCUAACCAAACUUCACUUUUUCGGCUAUUGAGGAUCGGGUAGGGUGCGCCAACAAAUUUUGACCCCUCUUACUUGCACACGAACAAAAGCGAAAAAAAUGUAUUGUUCUACAGUUGAGGCAGUGGAUUGCUUGGUCAUGUUUGCAGCCACUGGUUGCUGUUAACAUUUUGUGAUGUAGCUGUAUCUAACACUAAACAUAAAUGUUUGUGUAACAGGUUAUUUAGGUCGACAACGAACAGAGGAACAAAAGUAUAGUAUUACAGACAAUCUAUUUAGACUUAAAACUUAUGCUAGCUCAUUGAAGUCUUAAGAAGAUCAGUUUUGCUUGGUGUAUGUCAAGUUUGAUAUCAUGGAUGACAUUGUGUGAAUUGACAGCUUAUUGUAAAUUGAUUGAGACAACAUUCUUUUCAAACAACGAUCAUAUUUUCUACACAAAGGGGAUUUCAUCCAAGAUGUCGACCAUGAAUGUACAAGUAGCUUAAUUGUACGAAGAUUUAUGAACUUGUUCUAGAAAAUUAUAGUUAGCUUUGUUUAUCACUCGUAUAUGCCUUAUCAUGUUAAUAACAAGUCGAUUUCUGUUGCAUUUGUUGAUAUCGACUCAAACGAGUUAACCUGGAAAGGGGGUUGGAAUUGCAACUAAGCAAACUAUAUGUAUAUCCUUGUGUGACAGUGGGAAAGCUUCCAAUUAGUCAAGUGAACCCGGAGCAGAAGGAGAAAUACAUGGCUCAAGAAAGCGAAAAGAGGAGAGAAUUCCUUCAAAAGUUUCAGGAUGUCUGUAUUGCUUCACAGGUAUCAGAUAAUCUUAUCAUCAACUUGUACCAAUUAUCUAAUAACACAUUACAAACAGUAUAUGGAAAGUUAAAAAUAAACACGUCCAAGUAAAUUGACGCAGUAAAUUCACACGAUAACAUACAUUGCAAAGUAAAGUAUUGAAUGUUCAAAAACAUUACUCAGUAACAUCAAUGCUUGUCACGUACAGUUACGUGUUCAAAUUAUUUGGAGAAUCAUGAGCUAACAAUGUGCUUUUAUGUUAAAAGGUGACGGUGGAUAUCAUACCUAUUGACAGUGACAUGGAGGCAAAAGCUAUACUGGACCUAAUUCCCGUCCUCAACAUCAGAAAGUUGGUUCUGUGCACCACUAAGUCUAAUCUAAGGUACAGUAUCAAUUGGUUCAGCCAUUAACUAUUUUCGAAACUUUCUUUUCGCUUUUAUCAAUUAUUUUACGUAGAUUAUUGUAUGCGAGUGUUCCAGGAAACUGAGGUCUAAGAAAGCCAGUGGUGGAGCUGAUAAGAUACUACAAGAUGCACCAGAAUACUGUGAAGUUAAGCUCAUAUGUGGAGGAAAUGAAAUAACUGACCUGAAGUUUGAGUCCCCUUCUGCUUCUCCUUCUCCCUCUCCCUCUCCACGGGCUGCCGACCGAAGUCCCAAACCUGUGCAAGAGCAAGAGCAAGAGCAAAGCAAUAAUGACUCCUUUUCAUGUGGGUGCUUCAGGCCUAAGACUAGAUUCUGAAUGCUAAAAGAAUCUAAUGGGAAUAGCUCAGUAUGGGAGAUCUUAAGGUGGCUUCAUUUUAACUGUUUUGCAAUUAACCACAAUGUAUAAAAAUUAUUGAAAGUACAGGCAGGAAAGUCUGAACUAUGCUGUAUCCAAAGAUGAUAAGCAAAUUUCAUUUUUUUUUAACCAAAAAAAAUAAAAGUAAAAUCCUUACUUCUUUCAACUUUUCAAUCUUCCUUUUGUUUUUAACAAAAGCCCACUUGCUAAAUCAUAAGAGCGCACAACAAUUGAAACGAAACAAAGGAAUAGAGUGUGACAUAUUCAUCGAAGAUCGAGCCUUAUAGUGCUCAUCAGGUUUCAAGAAGCAGACCAGAUUUUUCAUUACCAUGCAUUUGUCCUCAAUUUACUCUUGAAUACUAUAUACAAAAUAGUAAAUCAAUUCCAAUUAAGCCCCUGUUAGAGCAUCAUUUUUUUUCCAAACUCAUUUUCAAUUGCACAUUCUUCCAAUAUAAUAAUUUUGCAUGUAAAUUCAAAACUUUUCACUGCUUUUAAUCAUAUAUUCUUUGAAAAACCAACAUUACAACACUCAUUUUUCUGAAAAAUGAGGCUCAAACAGAGCCUAAAGGUACUAUCGCAUCUACAUUUGUGGCUUAUAGAGGAUUUAGCGCAGUGUCUGGUACAAAUGUCAGCACAUACUAUCUAGAUUUGGUCCUACACUGCCUGGAAUUCAAGAAACUUUUCCCAGAAGGAUACAUAAAAACAUUAUACAAAGUGCAUUUCUAUUGUCAAAGUUCACCGUGUUCAAAUGCAAUCAAUCCCAGUCCUCCCAAAUUAAAACUUCCCCAUGCUGCGUGGAUCUGGAAGACUGGAACCAUGCAAGUUGAGGGAGGUCUUGAUCAAUUGGCAUUCAUAAUCUAUGACAGGCAGCAACAACAGAUAUCCAACUCUAAAUCAACCCGGUACUACAUAGAAAUCUCACAAACCUGAUCAUUAACAUCCUGGAUUUUCCAUAACAUUUGUUUUGCGUAACUUAAAAAAUCAAAUUCCAACAAUUCUCUCAUAUUCAACAGGCUUGGAGAUUUCAGGAUGGGUGGCACAACCUAUUAGCACACAAUUAGCUCCUUCAAAGAAAGGGUGUUGCUUAAUCUCAGUUGAGCCUCUUUUAUAAGCCGACCUGUGCCGUGGUUCUUUCACUAGCAGAACCCUGAUCAAAUCCCCGAAGGCGAAAUUGACAAUUAGAGAUUCUGGAAAACGAAGAGGCUAGCCAACAACAUUGAAUCGUGUGUCUCGAUUACUAGAUCCUUUAAAUGGAGUUUUGCCAAACAUAAGUUCAUAUAGAAAGAUCCCAAAAGUCCAUCAGUCCACCGCACUUCCAUGACCUUCACCUUCGAUAAUUCAGGUGCCAGAUAUUCACGAGGUCCCACAAAUGACAUUGACUGUGCAUUGGUUGGUUCAACAAUCAGCUUGGGCAAUGGGGUAACUUGGUUUCCAAUUCCACUUUUGGGUUUGCUAUUUUUCUUGGUUUUGCUAGAAAAGAGCGGGGGGAGAAGAACAACACAUGAUGGCUGAACGCAGGCAGGUUCAAUGCAAGCUGGUUGGAUGCAAUACGUAGAAUUUUUACUCAUGGGUUCCGACUCCAAGGAUGGUGUCGUGACCAAAGUUGGACUGACUUCGUAAUGAAGUGAAAGAUCAAAAUCUGAGAGUAUUACCUGUCCAUCAUCCCUCACAAUGACAUUCUCAGGCUUAAGGCCACGAUAGACAAGCCCGAGCACGUGUAGAUAUUCUAGAGCAAGCAGGAUUUCCGCAAUAUAAAAUCUGCAACAAGGGAAUUAGUAAUUAUCAGAGUAUUGACUGCACGAUAGAUGUUUUUAACAUAAAAAUACAUGUCCAUUGCUUGAAAAGGUACUGCUGAUUAGAUAGAUCAAAUGAUGAUAGCAUCAAGGAUCAACUUUCUAAUAAUACUGAUCGACCCAAACUUCCCCGAACUUUGUGAUUGAGUAAUAAAACAUUAAAUACAAGACAUUCAGAUUAAAACACUACUACUUUUCCAACGUUUAUCAAUGGUUGUUACUUCCAAUUACAGUUCAAUUUCAAUCUCAAAGCUGGAGAUAAGAUCAAAGACCACUUCGCCAUUCUUUUGCCUUUAAUUGUCCUUAUUUUAGCCUAUAUUUGACAACCCUUAUUUGAAAACAUUUUUUUCUAUGUACUAAUUUUUAAUCACACGUAUACAUAAUAAAAUAUUUUGCACGUAAAUCCAAAAAUUUCCCUUACUUUUUAAUUGCACAUUUUCUUAAAAAUUACUAUUCAAAACCCAAAUAUUGGCUGCCAAACAAGGGCUAAUGUCAACUAAUUGAAAUAACAGUUUCCGAUGCCUGUCAACUUUUGAAGACAAAUCUUUGUAAGAAUUUCAGACAAGAAAGAAGUGCCAGGAAAUUUACAAGUAUUGCCAACAUUUAACAUACUUCCAUUGUCAAGGAAAUUGAUGAUUCACUCAAGGUUACAAAUUUUUUUAGUUUUGCUCGCUCUAUUAUGUACAUUAACAACACAGAUUUCUUGUACUAUUAUAUCAAAACUUGUUGAAAAAAUGAUUAUGAAAUGGGUCAACUUUGAGCCCAAAUUUCAGUAGGACCCACUUUUUAAUUAAUACGGGACCUAACAUAUCCACGUUCUACUUCACGAGAUGAUUAACGUGAUAUAUUUAUUUGUCGAAAACCAUUUAGAAUUGAAUGAAAUAUUAAGUGUUAAAGUAAUCCACAUAAAACUAAGUAUUAUGGAAGAAUUUGAUUUUCCAAACACUUAUCCCACAUAGGAAAGUUAGAAAACUUUGGUGUGAUUUAUAAGGUGAUAGUUUGGGAAUUGGGUUUGGGCCUCAAGUGGUACCAAUAGUCUUUGAAAGGGGGAAGACUUAUAUUCUAUUAGAUUCGAUCAUAAACCCACACGCGAGCGCCGCCGUCCUUCCGUCCGUCCGGCCGGCUCGGCACGUGUCUGAGAUCGAAAUUUUUUGGACAAAAUUCAUUUAAAUUUUUGGGCCAAAUUAUAAAUAAUCAAAAUUUUGGGUACAUUAUGAAAUUUAAAUUUUGGCUUAUUCCGGGUGAUUUUUUGGUCUGAAUGGACUAUUUAACAGUCGUCUUUUAACUGACCACACAGUCGACUGUUAGCCGACUGUUAACAGACGUGACUUUAGAACAACAUGUCUGUUCCGAAUUUUUGAGGUUUGUCUCAAAGGUGACGACUGUUUGAAUGACCACGAACAAGUCUAUAAAUAGCUUGCUUCUCUGCUAGAAAAUUUACACAAUUUUCAUUGCAAACUUUCUGUGCUUUGAAUCUUAUUCUCCUCUCUCUCGUUCUGAUAUUGUUUCGAAGUCAAAUACACUUCGUUGAAUUCGUUGGAACUCAUGCAAAUUGCUGUGCUGCUUCCGUAGGAGACGAAAAUUCGUUCUAUUUUGGGAAACGAUUGCUGGACGCCUUUAGCACCAUUGAAGACAGCAAAUUCGUUUUAAGGAAACAUUGUGAAGUCGGUGGCCUCGAAUUACAUUUUGGAUCCUAUUGAUCAUUUCUUACAUUCAGGUGAUUCUGUCGAAUUGUUUUCAAAGGAGUAACUUCAAAUUCUAGAAACAACAAUCUUAAAAUGAAUUUCGCUAUUAUUCUGUUUCUGUUUCUACUCCUUCUUACAGUUGAUCUUCUGAUUGUGUUUCAGAAAUGGCAACUUCUGGUACCACACUCCCGAAUACGACCGGAGAAAAUUAGAAAAAUUUAAUGGGUCAGAUUUCAAGCGUUGGCAACAAAAAAUAUUUUUUUUUCCUACAACAUUAAAUCUGGCUAAAUUUCUCAAAGAAGAUGUGCUUUUAUAUACCGAGCAAGACACUGAUACUGAAAAAUUGGUUGCGGUUGAUGCAUGGAAGCAUUCUGAUUUUCUGUGCAAAAAUUAUGUACUCAAUAGAUUGGACAACACAUUAUAUAAUAUGUAUUGCAAUGUGAGGUCCGUAAAAGAACUAUGAGAAUCUUUGGACACCAAGUAUAAAAUCGAAGAUGCCGGUACGAAGAAAUUUAUUCUCGGUCGAUUUUUGGACUAUAAAAUGGUUGACAGCAAGACUGUCAUAUUCCAAGUUCAAGAACUUCAAAUCAUACUUAGCGACAUCCAUGCCGAAGGAAUGAAACUAAGUGAAUCAUUUCAAGUCACUGCAUUGAUUGAGAAAUUACCGCCUUCAUGGAAGGAUUUCAAGAAUUACCUAAAUCACAAGCGGAAGGAAAUGAAACUUGAAGAUAUCAUUGUCCGAUUGAGAAUAGAAGAAGACAAUCGCAAAACUGAAAGAAGGAAUGGUGCAUCUCAUUCGAUGGAAUUAAAAGUCAACAUUGUAAAAGGAGGCUUCAAAACUAGCAAAAAGAGGAAGCACAAUGGUGAAAGACAAACUGGUUCUUCAAAAACUGCUAAAAAAUUUAAAGGCAACUGUUACAAUUGUGGCAAGGCAGGACAUCGAUCCAAAGAUUGUCGAAAGUCAAAGAAUGUUAAGGGAAAAACUCACCAAGCCAAUGUAACAGAACAUGAGAACCUCACCGAUAAGGUAUAAGACAUGAAUCUUUCUGUGAUCGUCUCUGAAUGCAACUUAACUGGAAACACUAAGAAGUGGUGGGUGGAUACUGGAGCUACUCGUCACAUAUGCUCAAACUGCGGGAUGUUCUCUACCUACAAAGCGAUUGAUCAUGAUGAAAAUCUCUACAUGGGAAACUCGUCAUCUUCCAAGGUAGAAGGACAUGGGAAGAUAGUGCUGAAAAUGACAAGUGGAAAAGAGCUCACUUUGAAUGACGUUCUUCAUGUGCCGAAUAUUAGGAAAAACUUGGUAUCUGGUUUUCUAGUAAGUAAGAACAGGUUUAAGCUUGUAUUUGUUUCAAACAAAUUUGUACUCUCAAAUAAUGAAAUGUUUGUAGAAAAGGGCUACCUGAAUGAGGGGCUCUUUAAGUUGAACGUAAUGACUGUUGUACCUCUAAUUAUGAAUAAGAAUACAUCUUCUUCUUACUUGCUUGAGUCAUUUAAUUAUGAACGAUUAGGACAUACAAAUUAUAACACUUUGCGUAGACUAAUCAAAUUAGAUUUAUUACCAAAGUUUGAUUUAAAUCCUAAUCACAAAUGUGAUAUAUGUGUAGAAGCCAAAAUGUCACGUCUACCCUUUCAUUCUGUUGAAAGAAGUACCGAACCCCUAGAUUUAAUUCACGCUGACAUAUGUGAUUUAAAAUUUGUUCAAACUAGGGGAGGUAAUAAAUACUUUAUCACUUUUAUCGAUAAUUGUACUCGAUAUUCCUAUGUGUAUUUACUCAAAAGCAAAGAUGAAGCAAUUGAAGUGUUUAAACACUACAAGUUAGAAGUUGAAAAUCAACUUAGCAAAAAGAUUAAGGCCAUAAGAAGUGAUAGAGGUGGAGAAUAUGAUUCACCAUUUGAGAAAUUCUGUUCGAAACACGAAAUUAUUCAUCAAACUACCGCGCCUUAGUCUCCUCAAUCUAAUGGUAUUUCUAAACGCAAGAAUCGAACAUUGAAGGAGAUGAUGAAUGCUAUGUUAAUAAGUUCUGGAUUACCGCAAAACUUGUGGGGGGAAGUCUUGCUUUCUGCCAACUAUAUUCUUAACAAAUUAUUACAUCGAAAAACGCAUAAGAUACCUUUGAAGUAUGAAAAACCUAAUUAUAAAUACUUGAAGGUAUGAUGAUGUUUGGCUAAGGUAGUAGUUCCUAAACGUAAAAGGGUUAAGAUAGGACCUAGAUCCAUUGAUUGUGUAUUCAUUGGUUAUGCCUACUAUAGUAAUGCGUACAUAUUUAUGAUAUAUAAGUCUGAAUUACCCGAUAUGCAUGUUAAUACGAUUAUUGAAUCAAGAGAUGCUACAUUUUUCGAAAAUACUUUUCCUUAUAACAUGUAAGGUGAAUCAAAUUCACAAAAGAGAUCUCGUGAAAAUGAAGAGACUAUAGAUCAACAAUCUAUAAAUGAACAACCUAGACAAAGUAAGAGGGCUAGGACGUCAACCUCCUUUGGGCCUGACUUUCUAACAUACUUGUUAGAAAAUGAACCUCAAAGUUUUAAAGAGGCUAUGUCAUCAACCGAAACUUCAUAUUGGAAAGAAGCUGUUCAUAGUGAAAUUGAAUCCAUACUACAAAGUCAUACUUGGGAAUUAGUAGACCUCCCUCCCGAUAAUAAGCCUUUGGGAUGUAAAUGGAUUUUCAAAAGGAAAAUGAAAGCAGAUGGAUCAAUUGACAAAUAUAAAGUAAGACUUGUCGCUAAAGACUACAAGCAAAAAUAAGGUUUUGAUUAUUUCGAUACCUAUUCUCCUGUGACAAGAAUUACUUCCAUACGUAUGCUUACUGCAAUAGCAGUAUUGAAUGGUUUGGAUAUAUAUCAAAUGGAUGUUAAAACGACUUUUCUGAAUGAAGAAUUAGAUGAAGAAAUUUAUAUGGAGCAACCUAAAGGAUUUGUGGCCUCAUGACAAGAAAAGAAAGUGUGUCGCUUCUAAGAAAUGGCAUGAAAAUUUUGACACGGUUAUGAUGUCAAAUAGUUUCAAAAUUAACGGGUGUGACAAAUGUGUUUAUGUCAAGAAUACUCCAAAUGGAUUUGUCAUUGUUUGUUUAUAUGUAGAUGACAUGUUGAUUAUGGGUAACAAUGAUACCAUAAUUCAAACUACAAAAAGGAUGCUAANNNNNNNNNNNNNNNNNNNNNNNNNNNNNNNNNNNNNNNNNNNNNNNNNNNNNNNNNNNNNNNNNNAUAUUAUUCCUAUGAAAACACCUAUGGAUGUUAGUAUGCAUCUUGUUUCCAAUACUGGUAAUAGUAAGUCUCAAUUGGAAUACUCUCGUAUUAUUGGCAGUUUAAUGUAUGUCAUGAAUUGCACUCGACCUGAUAUUGCCUAUUCAAUUAGUAGGCUAAGUCAAUAUACGAGUAAUCCAAGCACUGAUCAUUGGAAGGCUAUUGUUAGAGUUUUAGGGUAUUUAAAACAUACCCAAAAUUUUGGAUUCCACUAUUCGAGAUAUCCAGCAGUACUUGAAGGCACCUGUGAUGCAAAUUGGAUAUCAGAUACUAAAGACUCCAUAUCAACAAGUAGAUAUGUCUUUACACUUGGAGGUGCUGCAGUAUCAUGGAAAUCUUCAAAACAGACAUGUAUAGCUAGAUCAACAAUGGAAUAUGAAUUCAUUGCAUUAGACAAAGCCAGAGAAGAAGCCGAAUGGCUACGAAACUUUCUAGAAGAUAUUCCAUGUUGGACAAAACCUGUGCUUGCUAUAUGUAUCCAUUGCGAUAGUCAAUCAGCAAUUGGUAGGGCACAAAAUUGUUCUAUACUGAUAUUAUCUCUAUAGAGUAUGUGAAAUCAAAAGAGAAUAUUGCGGAUCCGCUAACUAAGAAUUUAACAAGAGAGCAAAUUGGAAGUUCAUUGAAGGGGAUGAGAUUAAAACUAAUAAAAUAAUCAAAAGUUUCCAUGGUAGCAACCCAACCUAGUUGACUGGAGAUCCCAAGAUCUAGGUUCAAUAGGACAACCGAACUGUAAAAAACUUAGUAUGCACUGGGAAGAUUUUACUACUACCUAUUCCUAUGAUGAGCUAGUGCCUAGCUGCUGCGAAAUAUGUUAAGAUAUGCUUUUAAUGAUUUCUAUAUCUUUAUUCGUUCAAGUGGAGUAUAGCUUCUAAGAGAAUUAGGUGAAGAUGAAUUCUCUAAAAACCACUCAUGAACCAGGAAGUGUCCAAGGCCAAAAUGGACACAAACGUGAGAAACCAACUGUGUUCGAAGAGAACUGUGUGACUUCUAUUGUUUAAGUUUCCAUGAACGACUGACUGUUUAAAGUAACUUGCUACUGAUUGGCUAAGGAAAUCCGAUAGAUUUUACUAGGGAAAGUUUAAAGUCAUUGACUACUUAUCCCGAUGCAGUCUUCUUCAAUUUUUACUUUGAAAAACAUAUCAGAUGUUAUUGUUUGGAAAAAGGCCAACAUAUUUCAUUCAUGUAGGGGAUUGUUGGAAAAAUGGUUAUGAAAUGGGUCAACUUUGAGCCCAAAUUUCAGUAGGACCCACCUUUUAAUUAAUACAGGACCUAGCAUAUUCACGUUCUACUCCACGAGAUGAUUAACGUGAUAUAUCUAUUUGUCGAAAACCAUUUAGCAACAAUGUUUCUAGAGUUUGAAGUUACUCAUUCGAAAACAAUCCGACAGAAUCACCUGAAUGUAAAAAAUGAUCAACAGGAUCCAAAAUGUAAUUCGAGUUCACCGACUUCAUGAUGUUUCCUUAAAAUGAAUUUGCUACCUUCAAUGGUGUUAAAGGCGUCUAGCAAUCGUUUUCCAGGAUAGAACCAAUUUUCUUCUCCUACGGAUGCAGCAUAACAAUCUGCAAGAGUUUCAACGAACUCAAUAAAGUGUACUUGACUUCGAAACAAUAUCAGAAAGAGAGAGAGAGAGAGGAGAAUAAGAUUCAAAGCACAAAAAAUUUGCAAUGAAAAUGGUGUAAAUUUUUUGGCAGAGAGGCAAGCUAUUUGUAGACUUGUUCGUGGCCAUUCGAACAGUCGUCACCUUUCAGACAAACCUCAAAAACCCAGAACAGACAUGUUGUUCUAAAGUCGCAUCUGUUAAGUCGGUUAACAGACGAUUGUUAAACAGUCCAUCCAGACCAAAAAAUCACCUGGAAUAAGCCAAAAUUUAAAUUUCAUAAUGUACCCAAAAAUUUGAUUAUUCACAAUUUGGCCAAAAAAUUUAAAUAAAUUUGGUCCAAAAAGUUAAUAUAGUGCAAAGGUCCACCUCCACCCGCACCCGAACACGAACACGAACUGGACUGGUCUCGGUCUCGGACACGGGCACGUGCUCGUGCCGUGCCGAGCUGAGCAGGCCGAUCGGACGGACGGCGGCGGCCCGUGCGUGUGGGUUUAUGAUCAAAGCUAAUAGGAUAUAGGUCUUUCCCCUUCCAAAAACUAUUGGUACCCUUUGGAGCCCAAACCCAAUUCCCAAACUUCCACCUUAUAUACCAUACCAAAGUUUCCUAACUUUUCUAAGUGGGAUAAGUGUUUAUAAAAUCAAAUUCUUCCAUAAUACUUAGUUUUAUGUGGGUUACUUUAACACUUAAUAUUUCAUUCAAUUCUAAAUGGUUUUCGACAAAUAAAUAUAUCACGUUAAUCAUCUCGCGGAAUAGAACGUGAAUAUGCUAGGUCCUGUAUUAAUUAAAAGGUGGAUCCUACUGAAAUUUGGGCUCAAAAUUGACCCAUUUCAUGACCAUUUUUCCAACAAAACUGACAACUAACAAUACUUUGCAGGGAUUCAACUUCUGAACUUAAACCUAAAACAAAUUACUAAAAAAUUAAAUUGUAUAAUGCAACAUUAUUCACUUGAAAUUAAAAUGCAGAAUGACAUAAAUAGAUAUUUUACUCAUCACUCGAGUCACGAAUGUAGAAAACAACAAACCAAUAUGAUAAACAAACAAUCAAAAGAGAAGAAGAAACUGAUGAAGAAUGGAGAGAAGCCUCCAAACUUAGGGCUAAAUAUUUGAGAUUACAAUGGUUUAUAUAUUACAAAACAAUGGAAAAGUAAAAGACAAAACUACCCCUAGCCUAAUAUAUUUAUUACAUUAACAUCAACCCUCACACUCAAGGUGCUAUAGCCAGAGGCAAUGAGAGUUUGACAAACAAAAAGAAACGUAAACGAUGAACCAGAUGGAACUUCAUGAAGAUGUUAACAAGCUGCAACGAUGAACAACGAAAGAUAGGGUAAUGAUGCUAGACUGCAAAUAACCAAUGAAACCACACAAUCUCAACUAAGCCAAACGGAUGCAAAUUUCAAAUCCAAUUGAACCGAAAAUCCCAUGAACCAGGCAUACAUUGAACCAAAUUUCCAAUCCUAGAAACUGGGCAAACAACAAACCAAAUUUUCAAUCAAUUCCAUGAAUUGGGUAGAUACCAAACCAAAAUUUCAAUCCCAUAAACCGGGCAUACACCAAACCAAAUUUUCAAUGCACUCAUUUUUUUUUUGGUGUGGAAAAAUUCCCUAUCCAUCUUUAGCAACGCAUCAAACAUACACAGGCCUACAUCAAACAAAAUCAGCCCAAUCUCAUUUUUUUUGCCCAACACAAAGUUUAAUAUCAACAAAUAACCCAUAUAUAUUAACCAAAACCCACAUGCUCGAAAAUAAAUUACCUAACCCAACUAUACUCCAAUGCCAAUUAUAAUCACAUAGCCCACAAAAAGAGUCCAGAACACAAACCCAGCCCAAUUCCACCUGGCCCAUUAACCCAAUAACCACCCCAGCAGGCCCAACUAAUCUACAGACUCCAGGACCCAAAACCCAUCUACAGCCCAAAACCCAUUACCUAGCCUACCUCAUACACCGACCCAAAUUCAACCUUGCUUCUUCCUCCUCCAUAACCUAUAGCAAAUCGCCACGCCCAAUAUCCAUGCUCACUGUACCAAGCCAACUGCGAAAACUACCGUCAAGUGUCGGGUUUUCCAUGGUCGGCCACCACAACUCCAACCUCGCAACAACUGAAUCACCGUUUGCCAACAACGCAAAUCGUAGGCACAACAAAUCUCAACAUACGAUCUAUCCCUCAUCCAAAAAUUAAAACACUAACAGCGUUUUCCUCAAUCUAACGAACCAUACCCAGCCUGUCGCCACCAUUCCUAGACUCGAUAGUCGUCUACAACAUACAUGCCCAUAUUUGCUAGAAACUAUUUUUCGAGGAAAGAGUUUAUUGCAAGUUCUGUUACUUUCUCAAGCAGCUGCUGCUCAACCGAUCGUACACUCAAUACAGGGAAGUCGACGGCCAGAUGAGUGUUUAUAACGACUUUGCUGUUCGCCACCCUCUACAACAAGUUCAGCUCCUCAAACUCGAUGGAGGAUUAGCUUUGGCUAUGAUACUAUGUAGAAAACAAUAAACCAAUAUCAUAAACAAACAAUCAAAAGAGAAGAAGAAACUGAUGAAGAAUGGAGAGGAGCCUCCAAACUUAGGGCUAAAUAUGUGAGAUUACAAUGGAUUAUAUAUUACAAAACAAAGGAAAAGUAAACGACAAAACUACCCCUAACCUAGUAUAUUUAUUACAUUAACAACGAACCCAUAAGAUAUACCAAAUCUAAAUGCAUUAAGAAGAUUUCACCUACACUAAUUUCUAUUCAAACAAGACAGAGGAUAAUUGAUGAUGAUGCCCAAUCAUCAGAUAGAGGUAGACAGACAACAACCUAGAAAGAAACAUUCUGUUUUUAAACAUUGAACGGAGAGAUAAUAUUGGUCUUGCUUCACUUGAAAGAAUUCAUGCAUAUAUGUUAAAAGCAUAUACUGAUUUGUAAUCCUGUCUUUCUACAGGUGGCAUAUGUGGGAUAUAUAACAUUGGUUAUUGUAACAAUUUUACAUAGCCAGGAUCUUUAAGCAUGAUAAACUGAUCAACAAGACAACUACAAAUUGCAUCUUCAAGCGCCAUAAGAGUAGAAAGGUAACCACAAAGAAUCAGGUCCACAACAGUGAUUCGUGAAAAUAAAUUAUAUGAACAUUGGACUAGUGAAUGAUUAAAUAUGAAAGAUUGAGCGAAAAGAAACAGAUACUAAGGAAAUUUUAGUUCAAUUUCAAAUAUGAUUUGAAGAUACCUCACACCAUACUUCAGUGCUUAUUCGGUAAAAUAUAUCCCUGGUUACCUCUGUCUAAGAGCAUGUCUCCUCUCGGAAAGGAUUAUAUCACCAAACAAGAAAAUUUAUCAGUCUUAUUGAGUCUCGAAAUGGGUGUAAAGAGUAGGAAGAAAUGGUUGGUCCAGAGAUUGUAGUAUCUCUCUUUCCGUCUGACCACGAAUAAGCUUGUUACGACUAGCUAGAGAUGUUUUGUCCAUAACUUUUAUUGGCAGUGGUAAUGAUCAGACGUUAAAGGUCGUGGCCAUGUUCGAGAUGUCGAUAGGUCCUUCUGAAACCCUCUAAAUUUGGUCAUUUUCGACUGUAGCUCGUGGGAACGCACUAGAAACACCAUAACAGAUUAUGUUGAGGUUUAAUUAUUUAGGGAAUCUUGAAUUUCCAGGAGGGAGAUGUUGAAAUAAUGGAGCCUAAGUCACAAACUUUCAUGUGUGUCAGACAAUUUUGUCAAAAGGUGGUGGCAAAUGUUGACAAAAUAAUAUGGAUGGAAAAAUCUUGAAACCAUGCAGCCGUUUUUGGAAGAAUUUUUUUGCCGUGCAUUUAAUCAAAGGUUGCCUUUGUUGAAAAUGAUGGAUCUGCAAUUAAUGAGGGUGACAAGUUUUUUUUUCUAUAAAUAAGAUGCCAAAGCAGGAAAAAAAAGACAGAUGUGCAAAGAGAAGUGCAAGAAAGGUAUUGAGUGAAAACACGAGAGACAGUGAGCAAAGCACAAAAGUGAGAAACAGUUAGGUUUUAGUUUGUAUAGAAAAUUAAUGAGAGAGAAAAUUGAGAGAUUGCCUUUGUGUAGGCAAAUAAAAUACAGAGAGUGUAUUUGUUGUAUUCUUUUUCUUCUCUUGUUGAUAUAGUAAAAAAUUGGUGUGGGUUUGUGGACAUAGGCACAAUUACCGAACCACGUAAAUUCUUGUGUCACUUGCACUUAUUAAUUUUCUGCUACAUUUAUUUUUUCUCAGUUUAAAUUAUUUUGUGUCUCACUGAUCCUUAUGGAAUUAGUAGUGCUCUAAUACCUAACAACUGGUAUUAGAGCCCUAGAAUUUAAGUGGGAGCAAUGGCAACAUACGAGACGAUAUCUAAAAUCGAUAAAUUUGACAGUACAAACUUUGGAUUUUGGAAAAUGCAAAUGGAGGACUAUUUGUACCAGAAGGACCUGUAUAAACCGCUUCACGAAAAGCUGGAGGACAUGACCAACGACGAGUGGGAAUUGCUUGAUCGAAAGGCUCAUGGCGCAAUAAGGCUUACAUUAUCAAAGUCAGUUGCUUUCAACAUAAAAAAUGAGAAGAAAACGACAUCUCUCAUGACGGCCCUCUCUAGCAUGUAGUGCAACCUUCUAUAGCAAACAAAGUUCAUUUAAUCAAAAAAAUAUUUACUAUGAAAAUGACGAAAGGCGAAAGAUUUGGAGAACAUCUAAAUGAGUUCAAUGAAGUGACGGACCAGUUAAACACGAUCGAAAUCACGUUCAGUGAUGAGGUUCAAGCUUUGUUAAUUCUCGGGCUACUGCCUGAGAGUUGGAAUGGCACAGUUAUAACAAUUAGCAGCUCUGUUGGAAAGUCCAAAUUGAAGUUUGAAGAUGUCGUGAGUAUGAUCCUGACUGAGGAAAUACGAAGACAGACAGAAGGUGUUUCCAGUUCUAGAGCCGCUUUGAACAUGGAGAGUAGAGGUAGAAGUUUGAACAAAAGUAAAGGGCAUAACAGGAGCAAGUCAAGGUUUGGCAGAUCAAAAUCCAGCUAUCCAAAGAAUUUCAACAAAUUAAAAGUUGUUGAAUUUUGGAAUUGUGGCAAGACCGGACACUACAAAAAUCAGUGUCAAGUUUCCAAGAAAGAAAAUAAAAACGAAACUGAGGCCAAUGUCGUAGCAGAAGAAUCUGAUGAUGCUUUGAUAUGCUCUUUGGAAAGCAAAGCAGAAUACUGGGUAAUAGAUUCUGGAGCAUUUUUUCAUGCUACUUCAAACAGAAAACUUUUUACGAGUUAUGAACCGGUCAAUCUUGGAAAAGUAUAUCUUGGUGAUGAUCAACCUUAUGACGUAGUCGGCAAAGGCGAAGUUCAGAUCAAGCUUAAUGGAUCUAUAUGGAAAUUGAAGGACGUUAGACACAUUCCAGACUUGAGGAAUAACUUGAUAUCUGUGGGCCAACUAUCAAAUGAAGGUUAUGUCACAACUUUCAACGGUGAUAUUUGGAAGGUUUCCAGGGGUGUAAUGACCAUAGCAUGAGGCAAGAAAAGUGGUACUCUUUACACACAACGAGUUCCUGCGAAAAAUAAUUGCAGUUGCUGAUUCAAAUGAAGAUUCGAAUCUAUGGUACCAGAGACUGAGGCAUAUGAGUCAGAAAGGACUCAAGUACGUGCAUGAUAAAGGGAAACUACCGGUACUUCAAUCUAUUGAUGCAGAUCUACGUGAGAGUUGCAUCUUCAGGAAGCAGAAGAGGGUGAGUUUUAACAAGUGUGGCAUAACUCUGAAGUAGGAAAAGCUAGAGUUAGUCCAUACGGAUGUCUGGGGACCAGCUGCAGUUCCAUCUACUGGCGAAAGUCUUAUUUUGUGACUUUCAUUAAUGAUCACUCCAGAAACGUAUAGGUCUACUUCUUGAGACACAAAUUUGAAGUGUUCGAGAUGUUUAAGAAGUGGAAAGCUAUGGUGGAUAACGAAAUAGGUUUGUUAGUAAAGAAAUUGAGAUUAGAUAAUGGCGAAGAGUACGAACAUGCUGAUUUCAAAAAGUUUUGUUACCAGAAUGGUAUCAAAGUAGAAAGAACGUUGCCAGGAACACUACAACAAAAUGGUGCGUCCGAAUGAAUGAAUCGCACAUUGACAGCAAGAGCCAGAAGCAUGCAGUUACAUGCUAGUUUGCCUAAACAAUUUUGGGCUGAAGCUAUCAACAUCGCAGCAUACUUAAUCAAUCAUGGGCCAUCAGUGCCUUUGGAGUAUAGGAUACCAGAGGAAGUAUGGAGCGGAGAAGAAAUAAAAUUUUCUCAUUUGAAAGUUUUUGGUUGUGUCGCAUAUGUACAUAUUAGUGAUCAAGUUAGGGGUAAGCUUAACCCCAAAUCACUAAAGUGUACCUUCAUUAGAUAUGGUAGAGAUGAGUUCAGGUACCGCUUUUGGGAUGAUAAGAACAAAAAGGUCAUCAGAAGUCGGGAUGUCAUAUUCAAUGGAAGGGUGAUGUGAUGUACAAAGACAGAGAUACAGUGCUAUUCAGUACUUACAUGAUAAUCCAACAUAUGUUGAGUUGGAUGAUACUCCAAAUAGUAGUAUGUCAAAGCAGACAAAUGAGAGUCCUCAGCUAGAGGAAGCUAUUGCGGAGACUUUACUAAAGUCUCCAACUCCUAUUCCUAGAAGAUCUUCCCGACCAUAUGUUCCAAACAAAAAGUACAUAAAUUAUCUGAUGUCGGUGAACCUGAAUGCUAUGAUAAGGCAUGUCAGGGAGAAGAUGCGAUUAAGUAGGAGCUUGGAAUGAAAGAUGAGAUAAAGUCUCUUACUCUAAUCAAACAUGGGAGCUAGUUGAGUUGCCUGCAAAAAAGAAGGCUAUAUACAAUAAAUGAGUCUAUCGAGUCAAGAAGGAACAUGACGAAUCAAAGAGAUACAAGGCAAGAUUGGUGGUCAAAGGCUUUCAACAGAAAGAAGGAAUUGACUACACAUAGAUUUAUUUUCCAGUAGUAAAGCUGACAACAAUUCGAUCAGUUUUGAGUAUUGUUGCAGCAGAGGGAUUGCACUUAGAGUAGUUAGAUGUGAAAACUGCCUUCUCCAUGGUGACCUAGAAGAGGAGAUAUAUAUGCAGCAACCAGAGGGUUUCUCAAUAAAAAAAAAGAAGAGAAGCUUGUGUGCAAAUUGAAGAAAAGCUUGUAUGGCUUAAAACAGGCUCCGAGACCGUGGUACAGGAAGUUUAACGAAUUUAUGCAGAAAAAUGGCUACUACAAGUGCAAUGCUAACCAUUGUUGCUAUUUUAAGAGGUUGGAGUCUAGCUACAUUAUUUUGCUACUUUAUGUUGAUGACAUGUUAGUAGCGGGACUAGACGUGAACGAAAUCCAGAAAUUAAAGAAGCAAUUGUCAGCAAAAUUCGAAAUGAAGGACUUGGGUCCAGCUAAACAAAUUCUAGGAAUGAGAAUUUGUAGGGACAAGCGAAAAGGCACUUUACAGCUUUCCCAGACCAAGUACAUUAGUCAAAUUUUGCAGAGGUUCAAUAUGAACAAUGCAAAGGCAGUUAGUACACCAUUGGCUAAUCACUUCCUUCUAUCAAACGACCAGUCUCCAAAAAUAGAAGACGAAAGAAACUUCACGGCUAAUAUUCCAUACACCUCAACCAUUGGAAGUUUAACGUAUGCCAUGGUUUGUACAAGACCAGACAUUACUCAUGCAGUGGGAGUUGUGAGCAGAUUCAUGACCAAUCCAGGAAAACAGCACUGGGAAGAAGUGAAGUGGAUACUGAGAUAUCUGUAGGGUACUAUUGAUAAAUGUUUAUGUUUCAAAAGAGUUGAGUUGGCACUAUAAGGCUUUGUAGAUGCAAACUUUGCUGGCGAGGUCGAUCACAGGAAAAGCACCAUCGGUUAUGUAUUCACAGUUGGUACUAUUGCAGUGAGUUCGAUUUUGCAAAACCAUAAUAUUUUUGCUUUAUCCACUACAGAAGCAGAGUACAUGGCAGUAACCGAAGCUAGCAAAGAGAUGAUUUGGUUAGAAGGUCUGUUGACAUAAUUGGGUCUCAAGCAGGAAAAGAAUGUUUUGCAUAGUUACAGUCAGAGUGCUAUACAUCUGGCAAAGAAUGCAACAUUUCGUUCGAGAACGAAGAACAUUGGUCUUCGUUAUCACUUCAUCAGAUCUCUCUUGGAGGAUGAAGUAUUAACACUGGAAAAGAUCCAGGGCAGCAGAAACCCAGUUGACAUGUUAACCAAGACGGUAACUACGAAAAAACUGGAAUUAUGUUCAACUUCAGUUGGCCUUCUAAAAUGAAGAUGAGGAAGGUGAUCCACACCAAUUUCACUAAAAUGGAACUGCUCGCAGGUGUCUCAAGGUGAAGCCACAUUAGUCUCCAAGUGGGAGAUUGUUGAAAUAAUGGAGCCUAAGUUUAAGGCUUCACAAACUUUCAUCUGUGUCAGACAAUUUUGUCAAAAGGUGGUAGCAAAUGUUGACAAAACAAUAUGGAUGGAAAAAUCUUACAACCAUGCAGCCGUUUUUGGAAGAAUUUUUUUGCCAUGCAUUUAAUGAAAUGUUGCCUUUGUUAAAAAUGAUGGAUCUGUAAUUAAUGAGGGUGGCAAGUUUUUUUCUAUAAAUACAAGGCCAAAGCGGGAGCAAAAAGACAUAUGUGCAAAGAGAAGUGCAAGAAAGGUGUUGAGUGAAAACACGAGAGACAGUGAGCAAAGCACAAAAAUGAGAAGCAGUUAGGUUUUAGUUUGUGCAGAAAAUUAACGAGAGAAAAUUGAGAGAUUGCUUUUGUGUAGGCAAAUAAAACACAAAGAGUGUAUUUUUUGUAUUCUUUUGUAUAGGCAAAUAAAAUUGGUGUGAGUUUGUGGACGUAGGCACAAUUGCCGAACCACAUAAAUUCUUGUGUCACUUGCACUUAUUAAUUUUUUGCUACAUUUAUUUCUUCUCAAUUUAAAUUAUUUUGUGUCCCACUGAUCCUGACGGAAUUAGUAGCGGUCUAAUUCUUAACAACUGGUAUCAGAGCUCCAAAAUUUAAGUGGGAGCAAUGACAACAGACGAGAAGAUAUCUAAAAUUGAUAAGUUUGAUGGUACAAACUUUUGAUUUUGGAAGAUGCAAAUGAAGGACUAUUUGUACCAGAAGGACCUGUAUAAAUCACUUCACAAAAAGCCAGAGGACAUGACCAAUGACGAGUGGGAAUUGCUUGAUCGAAAGGCUCUUGGCGCAAUAAGGCUGACAUUAUCAAAGUCAGAGACUAAAAAUUUGAAGCAUAACUUUUUUUGCUUGAAAGUUGAUAUAUGAUAAUUCUUCGACUAUAUUUCACCCGUUUGACUUCUUUCCUCAUGUGAUUGACCUCUAACACUCUCGAAUCUUCAUCGUAUGGUUCAACACAACUUUUCAAUGUUUGCACUUUAGACUUCAAACUUUGAUUUUGCUUCAUUUUAGUCAUUUUCUCUUGUAAUCUUGUUCCUUUAUCUUUCAAUUGUAUCCAAUUAAAGCUUUGGCAUCUUCGAUCUUCAUUUCAUCGCUUGUCUCAUCUAUGAAUUUUUUGCAACAUGGUUCUCGUCUUUUGGAUUUCACCGUUUUUUUUGGAUAUUCCUUUUGUUUCUUUCAAUUUCUUGUCCAGCCAUUGAGUUUUACUUAUUUAAUAUAAAAACACAACAAUUUAGACUAUAUUUCACCAGAGGAGCAACUAAAUAUAAUUAUUUAAAGUCUUGAAUAAGUGUAUAAAAUACACCUAUCAGCAUCGACUAUUGGGCGAUGGUGCUAACCAUUGAUGCAGUGAGAGUGGAGAAGUAGGAGGUGCAGACCACCGACCUUUCUGUUUUUCAUAAGAGUGGGUAGGGGUUGGGUAGAUUUCUUUUAUUUUUUGGGUUUUUUUAUUUAGCCUCUGUUUGGGGGACUAAAAUCAGAUUUUUAUUAGAUUUUGGUAGAUGUUGAUGAAAUGUGUGAUUGAAAAGUUAUGGAUCUCAUAAAAUGUGUGGUUAAAAUUAAUUGUUAAUUUUGACUUAUAUUUAAAUCUUGGUUUUAAAUUUCUAUCAAAUAGGGGCUUAGUUAUUUUAUGUGAAAAAACGAUAAGUUAUGAUUUUGUUCUUCUAAAAUUUGUCAAAAUUGUAGUCAAUAUCGGUUCUUUGGUCAAUUAAUGUCAUUUGGAUCGCUGCUACUGUGUUCUCAAAGGUUUGGGACCUCCGUUGAUAAAAAUUGAAGGUUAAGAUAAAGUCUGUAGAAAAGUGAAAUUUUAGAAAUCAUUGCUGCAAUUUUUCCAAAAUUUAAUGUCACGUUUUCAUGGAGUUCUUAUCUGUCACAGAUAAGGAAAGUAAGAAUAAUAACCAAUCAUUUUAAAAUUCAUCAUUUUUCAAUUUCCAUGUUAUUAAUGUGGCAUAUAAAAUUGGUUAGAAUGAAUAGAAAUUGACCUUAACUUUGCCGGACGUAACAAAAUGGUCUUAUAUUUACUUCUUUUUGAAUGAAUUGUACAUUGCCUUUUGAGUUUUUAGCCAAUUGAUGUCUAACGUUGGCUGUUAGAAAAGAUAACUUACUUCUUAUUGAAACAGCAGUGCCACCCGUAUUUUAAUUUAAAAAAUCAGAAUGGAAAAAAAUUCAAAACAUUAUCUUUCCCAAUCCACCAAUAACCAAUAGCAUGCCUUAUAGGUCCCUAUGCCAUUGAUUCAAAUAAAAAAGUGAAAUAAUUUAAAAGAUGUGGGUGACGACGUUGAUUAAGAGAUUAAAAGGAAGAAAUUGGAAAUGAAAAUGCUACAUUAACAAACCCAUCUACAAACUGUUUGACAAACUAGACAAGUGAUGGCUCCCUAUUAGAGAGGCAGCUGUGGAGAUUUUGUACAAUAUUUUGUACAUAUAUCUUUAUCCAAUUGGAAAUAUUGAUUGGGAAAUGUAAGAGGUGUUCGCAAAUAGUUUGGGGCAGACAUGUAGCCAGUGUGGUUUAGGUUGCACGUGGUGUCUUUUCCUAUUUUCUUGUUUCCUUUUUAUUCUUCUUUUAAUAAUUUUCCAUGUGAAUUGAGAUUUUCCAUCCACGACUAUAUUGUUUGUUGACUUUAAAAUCUUGAAGGAUAAAGAUAUCAACAUAUACUGGUUACAUUCUCAUCUACCUGUUUCGAAACCUGAACAUAAGAAAUUGAAGUUUGCAAUCCUUCUAAGAAUGUAGUCAGGGCACCUUUUAGGCUUUGACACUCAAAUUAAUGCAAGUAAAAUAAUAUAAGUUCAAGAGAAACAAAAUGGACAAAGAAUUUGCAAGAGGUUUGAAUUAUUCAUUUUUGUACAUACCUUUUCUUUUAUGUUAGAUGGAAUUUCAAUAGGAAAACUAGGUUAAAGGAAAAUUGGACCUUUAUUGAAUCCCCCUCCCCAAAACAAUAUGUGUCGCUUUUUAAUUAGUGAGGACUUUUGAUUUUAGUACCUUGUCAUUUUUUGAUUAAUGGCGAGGUCAUUAUCAAGUAAUUGAUUCUUGUUUGAUUUUGUUUCACACUUUUUAUUGGUUUUAGUCUACUUGGUAGUUAUCCUCUUGCCAAGUUUCAAUAUCUUUCGUCAAAUUUUAGUUCCUUUAUUGAAACCCACUCCCCCCCCCCAAACGACACGUGUCGGUUUAUAAUUGGUGAGGACUUUUGAUUUUAGUACCUUGUCAUCUUUUGAUUAAUGACGAGAUCAUUAUCAAGCAAUUGAUUCUUGUUGGAUUUUAUUUUUCAUUUUUAAUGGUUUUAGUCUAUUUGAUGGUUAUCGUCUUGCCAAGGAGAAAACCUUCAAUACAGUAGUUCUAUAUGUAGAUAUGGUGUGAUCAUCCAUAUUAAAUUACGACGUCUUGAAUUUUGAACCAUGCAAAAUGUAAUAACUUGACAUUCGAGAUUGUAAGAGAGAAAUAAAGUGAGCGUGUGAAGUCAAGGUGUCAAAUUUUGAAUGACUCAAAUUUCGAAAUGUUAUGAUUUGAAUGGACAGUCCUACAACGUGUGCAUAUAGGACUGUCCUACUAAAUCUUCUCUCCUACCAUGUGGCAAAGGAAUAUUCUGUAUUUCCUUCAUUAAAAAAAGGGUGUGUGACAUAAACAAAUUCACUUGCCUGCAUGAAAGUAGAUAUACAUUUUGAUAACAGGUGUGGAUCUGAAAGGAAAGAUAUCAAAAAGGCAAUUAUUCAGAUAACUAAUGCAUAAAUAUUAUAAAUAGCAUUUAGCUAAUUCAAUUGUCAAGGCUAGAAUAAGAUUUACAAUUUGAGAUCUUAAAAUGAAAUACGAAGAGUUCAACGAGCAGGUUUUUAUUAUAUUCCAAUCAAAAAGUAACACAAAUUAUGCCACCACAAUUGCACCUCACACCAUUGACUAAAUUCUUCCAAUUACAAUCUUUAACCCCAAUUUCAGGAAUGCAAUUUUAAGGUGAGGCUAUUUUUUAACAGCUUGGACAAAGAUAAAAAAAUAAAAAUAAAAAUAAAUGUGAAUAAUAUGUGUGUACUUGAUAUAAUAAAAAACGUAAUAAAAUUUAUUAGUUCAUUUUAAUACACUCAAAUUUUCUUUCGUAUUCAUCCUUUCUUAUUUACUUGAAGAAGAAAUUACGAAUGUCGAAUUUGUUGGAGAAUAUAAAGAUUGCUUGCUAAUAAGCCAAAACAAAUUAUUGAUAAAGUAAAAAAAAAAAAAGGAAAAAAGAAAAGUGAGUUUGAGUUAGGUUAACAUGUAGAUUGAUCAAAAGCAUUGACUGUCACUAUUGAUUAAAAUACCUAAAAGGUAAAUUAAAAAAAUUGUAACGUUUGCAAGCAGAAUAAAUACAUAAGCCUUAAUAUAACAUCACACACGAAUACAAAUUUAUUACUUAGCUUGCAUUUUUGCACAUAACCAGGGAUCAAUUAAAGUGGAGGGGGAAAUGAAAAUGAUGCGUAAGCCAAAUAUAACAUAACUAAACAUGGCCAUGCAAAAGAGAUGAAGGGGCUGCUGUUUAUGAGGCGCAUCGUAAUGGUUGCACCACUGGUUUGACCACCGUGGCGGGUUAACGUACCUCCACCACCAUUUCCAGUACGGCUGCCUGCACUACUGCCACCACCACCCCUUGCUCCACCUCCGCCGAUGCCAUCUCCGCCACUACCACCACUGCCGCCUCCAUCCCCUCCCGGAGCAACUGCAGAACUGAGGAGGAGGCAGAUGAUUGAAAGCACAAGAACAAAUUUUGCGUGUUGCAUCUAUUGUUUCUAUUCAACGUUAUCAAGAUUGGAAUUCCCUUAAGACGGGAAAUGGAACGUUCAAACUUAGAAUUAAUUACACUUGCAAGAAUAUUUCUUGUUUAUAAUUUAUUAUUUGAUAGUGUAGGUUUGUGCACACGUCUAAGCUUGCCCGAAUAAAAAAAGAAAAAAAAAGCACACGUAUAUGCCGUCUAACCGUCCAAAUUAAAAAGAAAUCAAGCCUACCAAUCGUCCAAAUUAAAAAAAGAAACCAAGAUAUUUAUAAUCGAAAAACUUCAAUGUCAUGAUUUCAUGAAGUUCUUAUGUGUCAAAGAUAAGAAAAAUAAUUAAUAUUACCAAAUAUCAUAUUUAGGAUUAUUUGAACUCAAGUUGAGAAAACACGAGGGGUGAGCAUAAAUGUGACCACUGAAAAAUCUGCGAAAAAUGCUAGGGCAUUCUCAUAGCCCUUACGUUGUUUAUUUAGCAAGCAAGUAGAGAAAAAUAUAAGCGUGAGAACAAAAACAUGCCAAAAUAAUGAAUUAGACAUGAUAUAUAUACAGCGAGAGUAAGAGGAGUAAUUGAAACAUCUGUGAAAUAAUGAGUUGACCAAAUAGGAUUGGACUACUGAUGGCUUUAGAAUUCUCAUUGGGAUCAGAGCAUAGGAGACAUGUUGGAGUAGUACUCCUCAUCAUAGUUGGACAAUGAUGAACUCGUACCAGAUUGGGGAUCAUUGAGAUGAAGUAGGAUAGUCCUAUAAGACGACAUGAAAUCGGGGUCCUUGACCCCAAGCUGAAGGCGUCCACCUCGAGGAUCAAGACAAAACCAGAAAUUGCAAUGCGUGUGUGGUCAAGACUAAGGUAUUCUAGUGGCCCUAUAAACUUGAGGCCAGGCUCGGGGUCAAGUGCCUUACAGCGAGUCGUUGGACGUGUAAGCAACACACACACGUACAACGGUCAAAUUAUUUGAAGAGAAGUGCAUUGUCACUUAGGAAUCAUGUAGUGUCAUAUAGUAAGGAGGCAUAAGGCUUGCGCCAUUGUGUUUAAACCUUGUAAAUACCCCGUCCCCAUUUUUAAUUUCCACCAAACCUUGAGAAGCAAAGAGCUCGAGCACUGAACCUAAGCUAAGAUCUUAGGCUCAUUUUUUAUUUAUUUCACAUAAGGCAUAUAGGUAAAGAUGAGGAGAGUAAAAUAACGAGGGUAGAAAGGUAGAGGUUAGCAACAGCCUUCGAGGCCUUGGACUCUAUUGAUGAGAGUAUAGAGAAGCUCAAGGUAAAUGACCAAAAAUGGAGAUGAGAUCAAGGACCCCGAAGUGAGCAAACAAGGAGGGGACGAGGAGAGGGAUGAGGUUGAGGUGUUGGAAUAUCAUGAAACUUUAAAUCUUAAUAACAUGAAAAGCUAAUUACUUAUUGCCAAGAUCCUCCAUGUUAAAUCUCCAAGAGCAUUAUAAAGUGCAAAACAUACCUUAAUUCAUUGGGAAUGUUUAUUUGAUACUGGAUCUUGAAUAUUGACUUUUUAGACUCUUGAGUUCUUGAUCUUGAUUUUACUUCUUGAUCCAUAUUCUUGAUUGUUGAAUUUCUUCUUCUUAAUUUUUUAUUGUGGAUCGCAUGUUUUUGAUUAUGGAUUUCGAAUCUUCUUCUUCAAUAUACUUUCUCUUCUAUUAUUGUAUUGAUGGGAUGACACAAAAAAUGAGAAGUUGUUGAAUUGAGAAACAUGAUCCUAUAUAUAGUUUUCAUAUUCAUUUUGCUCAUGAUGAAGUGCAAUUUUAAAGGAAUCCGCCUCUAUAUAUAUAUAAUUCGGCCCACACUUUGUUUAGAUGCUCUAGCCCAAAAAUUUAAUUUUUUACUAGAUCACUUGAAUUAUGGGUUUAACUUUAAGAUGACCUAUACACAAUUAAUUAUAUAUGUAGGCCCACAUGAAAAAUUAAAAUUUUCUCAAUAAUCUCUCACUUGGGCCACAUAUGUUACUUGAUAAAUUUGUAUAACCUUAUGACAUCAAAACUUUUGCUAUUAUAACCAAAAGCAUCUCCGAACAAUCUCAUCCAUCAAUUAUGUCAAAUAGGAUCAAUUUACAAGUUAACUACUUGGACUUAUUGACUAACAAUAGGCUAAAGAAUAGGAAAAUGAAUAAAAAACAAGUUAACUACUUGGAUUUAUUCACUAACAAAUCAAAACAAAUAAACAACUUAGAAACCAAUUCGACUAAGAUCCAGCAUGUGUGUGACCCUUAAAAUUAUUUGCACGGCUUCUUGUGUAGUGGCAUGUAUCAAUUUUGUUUGUCUAUAGCUAGUGUGGAGAAUUUAUUUUUGUUCAUACACGUUGAUAUUAGGGAUUUCACAAGGACAGAAUGCACAAAUAGAGAGUUCCUAACAUUAUUCUAUCAAUAUAAUGCAAGUGUUAUGCCCUAAGUCCAAUCAACCUUGGACAUAAAUACUUUUACUAUAUAAGUAAUGUAAUUUAAUGACAGAUCUAUUAUUUAAUUAAUAGACAAUUAAAUAAAAUAAUAGAGUCUGUAGAUUCAAAUCUUUGUAAUUUGUUAAUCACAAUGAGUUAUGAUUGUGAGAUACAAAUUACAUAUAAUUGAAUUUUAAAUCGUUUGUGAUCAUAACUAAUAAUGAGAUAUUGAUAUCAUUAUUACGGAUAGACCAUCACGUGUGACAUUCUUACUUAUGAAGUAAGUAGCUGAUCUCACAAGUUAAAGUGUGGUGACACUUAAAUGAACACGUGAAUAUUUUGUUAUAGAACAAAACAUUGGAGACCCGUCUAGAGAUUCCAUAUGAAUAACUAUUUGAGUGUCAGUGGUUAGUCUCUAACGUUCGGUAGUGGGAUUGGUCAUUUGACUUGAAGUCGUUAUAGUACCUUAUAUGAGGAUAGUCAUGCUUUGACGGUGUUGGAUGUUGCUCUGUCAAGAGCCAUUAAUACGGCAUCGUUCGGGUAUGUCAAGAAUCGUAUGAAGGUUGUGAAUGACCAAUAGAGGAUUCAUCACUUUUAGAUAGUAAGAGAUUAUGAUCUACAUUUCAUUCAAUUAAGUCGAUAACGAAAUCCUUGACCAAUGUGAUAUUGAAUUAAUAGUGGAGUGAAAGAUAUGAUUGAUAAUUGAGGUUGACACACUUCUAUAUUUCGUAAUUAAUCAGAUCAUAUUGACGAAUGGAUAAUAGUUUCACGGUAAACGAACGAGUUUGAUUUUGUCAAACCACGUGAUAUUUUUCGUCACAUGUAUUGCCCUAACACAUUGUUAGAUGUCAAUCUGGGACGGCGAGUAUGAAUUGGUGAUAAAUUAAAAGAGUGUUUUAAUUUAUCAAUUUUGAUUAGAUCAAAAUAAUAUUUCACGUCGUUAGGCAUCGUGAUCAGGAAUCUGAUGGGUCGCACAAAAAAGGAGAUCUGGAAGAUUGUGAUUUGUCAAUUAAUUAACUUAACAAGUGUUGAAUAAAUUAAUUAAUUGGGUUGCUUAUUUAUAGGUCUGAAUUGAUUAAUUGGAUUAAUUAAUUCACGAAUCAGAUUUAAUCAAAUGAGUUAAUUAAAUGUUGGAUCGGGUCAGGCCAAGCUCGUUUGAGCUUAUAUAUAUAUAUAUAUAUAUAUAUAUAUAUAUAUGUAUAUAUAUAUAUAUAUACAUGUAUAUAUAUGUAUAUAUAUAUAUAUGUAUGUAUAUAUAUAUAUAUGUAUAUAUAUAUGUAUAUAUAUGUAUAUAUAUGUAUAUACAUGUAUAUACAUGUAUAUAUAUAUAUAUAUAUGUAUAUACAUAUGUAUAUAGAUGUAUAUGUAUGUAUAUACAUAUAUAUACAUGUAUAUACAUGUAUAUAUAUGUAUAUACAUAUAUAUACAUCUAUAUACAUAUAUAUAUAUAUAUAUGUAUGUAUAUACAUAUAUAUAUAUGUAUAUACAUAUAUAUACAUGUAUAUAUUAGGGUUUUCAAAAUUGAAGUGAUUUUCGUUAUUCUUACUAGCACAAGAAAAAUUUCAAUACUACAAUCUUGUUCUCUGUGUGAAUCACCAUUGGAGAUUGGACAGUUGUGGGUGACAGAUCAAAGCUGCUGGAACAAGGAAAAAGCAAUGGAAUUUGUAGAUCUCGUAAAAUAUACAAUCUUUAUCACAGUUUUCUAUCUAAACAUAAAGACGAUUUUUGGUGGGAAUCGAAAAUUGUUUUAAAUUUUCCCUUCACACGUUAAGUAGAUUCUCAAUAGUGGUAUCAUAGUCUAUUUUGUGUUUGUUAGAAAUUGUUUUGCAUUAGUGAAUAGUCAAAAUUUGAUUGUUCAUACUUUUCUUGGAUCUAGCAAUUUAGAAAGUGAUGUUUCAUAUUCAAAAUCCGACUUUGAAAAAGAAAAUGGAUUUUUGGAAGAAGAAAGGAGGGGGGGGGGNUCUGAAUAUUUCCAGUAGCCACCGUCGACACUAGUGGCACAAAAGUGCUCGACAGUGUCGAGCACCUCUACUAUUGUAGCAGCAGUACCGACUGUCGGCGCUGUUGAUUGUGGCAGCGUGCGACGCUGCUGUUUCAGCAACGUCGCGCGCUGCUGUAUGACAACUGCUUGUAGCUGCUGCCUUAGUAACAGACUGUAUGACAGUGGCGACGAUCCGCUGCCAUAUCCAAAAGUUAUUCAUUUUUAUUAUUAUAUAUAUUUUUAGUCGGGUGAAAGGUUGGUUGGAGGCGAGGCUUCUACUGCAAUUAGCAUAAUUACGAGGGCCCGCCUGCAAUUAUAUUAUGGAUGGGGUCAAUUGUACAUAAAAGGGGACCCUUUUAUAAUUUGGGAUAUUGAAGGGCCCGUUAUGCUAUUUGCCGAAUUGGGAGGCCUCAUUUAUAAUUUUUAUAUUGGGUCAAAAUGCAAUUUGUUUUUGAAAGGGAUUUAAAUGCAAUUUUGAAAAGGUUUUAUGAACUAUUUUAAUGUUAAGAACAAUGGUUGUCCAUGCCUAUCUUGAUUAAAGAUCUUAAUGGUUGUGGUAAACUAUAAUAUAACAUUUAUAUUCUAAAUACUAAGCAUUCUAUAAUGAGUAUAGAAGUUAAGAGACAGAAAAGUGAUAAUUUGAAUAUUACCUAAAUCUACCAUGGGAGACUUUGUUAUAUAGAUGAAAUGCAAUUCCAAAGUUACAAAGAGAUGUAUACUUGGUGUCAAUUGAUUUUGACAAGUACGAAUUGUGCAUGUCUGACAUAAUGACCAAAUCUCUUUUUACUUGAAAAUGAGAAAGGUUUGCAUAAUUACUGGUCUAAUGCAUACUGUCGCGUAUGGACCCAUGUCAAAUUAUGUCAGGUGAAGUUUCUCUUAUUUCAUCAAAAUUACUAAUGACUAUUACAGAAAUAGUCAUAUAUGCUUGAUGAAAUCCAAGCGUGAAACUCUUGAAAGGUUCAAGGGAUUCAAACUUAAAGUAAAGAAACAAAUAGGUAGAGAUAUUCUCACAUCAAGAUCUGAUUGAGAUGAGAAUAUCUUAAAGAAUGAAAUUUUAGAUUAUCUGAAAGAGAAUGAGAUUUUCUUGUAGUGGACUCCUACAUAUACACUGUACCAGUGGUGUAUCGAAAAAGAUGAAUCAUUAACUAUUAGAUAUAGUGCGAUUAAAAACAAGCCAUGUAAAUUUCUCAAAAUCGUUUUGGGGUCAUGCACUAAUUGCAAUGUGUUACACACUAAAUCAUGUCACAUCUAAGUUGGUUAACACAAUUCCGUACGAGCUAUGGAAAGGCAAUAGUCCAAACUUAUCUCAUAUGAAAGUUUGGGACUCUAACGUUUAUUUGAAGUGCAUUGAAUCGGAUAAACUAGAGUAUAUAUAUUCGAUGAAUACAUAUUUGUGGGAUAUCCAAAACAAAUAUUUGGAUAUCAGUUCUAUUAUUCCAUUGAGAAGAAAGUCUUUGUCUCACGAUACGUCAUCUUCUUAGAGAAAAUAUUUACUCUAGGAGAGGAUAAUAGAGCAAAAUAGAACUUGAAAGAGUUCAAGAGUCCACAGACAUAGUUAACCAAGUAGAUGAAUUCGAGUUUGAUCCCAUAUCCGAUGUGGGGCAUACUCUUGAUCAAGAAGUAGAGACUUCUCAGGACAUGUUAGCUUUGUGUGAAUCCAGUAGGAUCAUUCGAUCUCCAAGAAUGUGCAAACCCAUGAUUACUAAACAUGUAUUAUUGAUCGAAGGUGAUGAACCUACUAAUUAUGCAGAAGCAGAGUCAAGUAUUGACUCAAGCAGAUGUCAGGAGGUCAUGAAAUUCAAAAUGAACUCAAUGUAUGAAAAAUAAGGUUUGAACCUUGGUCGACCCUCUUGAUGGAAUAAAACUCAUAUUUCAUAAAUAGUUUAUGAGAAAAAUGUCGAUGUGAACCGAAAUAUCCAUACCUACAAAGAAAGGCUAGUAACAACGGUCAAAUAUUGAUCUUGGUGAAACCUUUCUCUUGUAGCUUUGCUGAAAUCCAUUCAGAUUUUGGUUGCAACAGUUGCAUACCGUGACUAUGGGUUAAAACAUGUCUCUUAGAGUUGAAAUCUUCGGUUUGAUGGAAAAGUCAAAAUGUUUGAUUUUAUCAAAUUUGAAGACGAAUUGUAUGUUUGCAAAAAGAUAGUGGGAGCAUUAUCACAUUCCUGAUAUUAUAAGAAACGACAUCCAUAUGUUUCAAUCGUUGAAAUAAUGGUCGUUAUGUGAAACAAUCGUUGGUUUAAUAGCAAAAAUCUAAUACAUGAUUGCUUCAGAAGCUGCAAAAAGUGGCAAUGUUGAUUGAUCACAUGUUAUCGUAUUGUGCUAACAAUAGAGCUAUCGCGUAAGCGAAGGAAUUAAGGUCUCAUUUAUGAUCCAAACAUAUAUUAAUGCGACAUAAUCUCAUCAGAGAGAUAAUACAUGAAAAUGACUAAAGAGAAGAACGAAUUUCCACAUUUGACAAUAUUACAAAUCCACUGAGAAAGAGUUGUCGUAGCAUAAAAAUAGAUCAUCAUGUAGAUUUUUAUGAUAUUGGAUAUAUAAGUGAUUGAAUCUAGUGCAAGUAAGAGUUUGUAAGUGUUAUGCUCUAGGUCCAAUCAACCUUGGACAUAAAUACUUUUAAUAUAUAAUUAAUGCAAUUUAAUGACAAAUCUAUUAUUUAAUUAAUAGACAAUUAAAUUAAAUAAUAGAGUACGUAAAUUCAAAUCUUCGUAAUUUGUUAAUCACAAGGAGUUGUGAUUGUGAGAUACAAAUUACAUAUGAUUGAAUCUUAAAUCAUUCGCGGUCGUAAGUAAUAAUGAGAUACGGAUAUCGUUAUUACGGAUAAACCAUCAUGUGUGACAUUUCUUACUUGUGAACUAAGUAGCUGAUUUCACAAGCUAAAAUGUGGUACACUUGAAUGAACACGUGGAUGUUUUGUUAUAGAACAAAGCAUUGGAGGCCCGCCUAGAGAUUCCACAUGGAUAAUUAUCUGAGUGUCAGUGGUUAAUCUUUAACGUUCGGUAGUGAGAUUGGUCCUUUGACUUGAGGUUGUUAUAGUAUCUUAUAUGAGGACAAUCAUACUUUGAUGGUGUUGGAUGGUGUUGGAUGUUACUCUGCCAAGGGCCGCUAAUACGACAUCGUUCAGGUAUGUCAAAAAUCAUAUGAAGGUUAUGAAUGACCAAUAGAUGAUUCGUCACUCUUAGAUAGUGAGAGAUUAUGAUCUGCAUUUCAUUCAAUUAAGUCGAUAACGAAAUUCUUGGCCAAGAUGAUAUUGACUUAAUAGUGGAGUGAAAGAUAUGAUCGAUAAUCGAGAUUGACACACUUUCAUAUCUUGUAAUUGAUCGGAUCAUAUUGACGAAGGGAUAAUAAUUUCACGGUAAACGAAAAAGUUUGGUUUUGUUAUACCACGUGACAUUUUUCGUCACAUGUAUUGUUCUGACAUAUUGCUAGAUGUCAAUCUGGGACGGCGAGUGUGAAUUGGCGAUAAAUUAAAAGGGUGUUUUAAUUUAUAGUUUUGAUUAUAUCAAAAUAAUAUUUCACGUAAUUAGACAUUGUGAUCGGGAACCUGAUAGGUCGCACACAAAAGGAGAAUUGGAAGAUUAUGAUUUGUCAAUUAAUUAAUUUAACAAGUGUUGGAUAAAUUGAUUAAUUGGGUUGCUUAUUUAUAGGCCUGAAUUGAUUGAUUGGAUUAAUUAAUUCACGGACCGAAUUUAAUUAAAUGGGUUAAUUAAAUGUUGAACCGGAUCAGGCCAAACCCGUUUGGGCUUAUAUAUAUAUAUUUCAAAAUUGAAGUGAUUUUCAGUAUUCUUGCUAGCACAAGAAAAUCCCUAAUACUACAAUUUUGUUCUAUGUGUGGAUCACUGUUGGAGAUUGGACAAUUAUGAGUGGCAAAUCAAAGCUUCUGGAACAAGGAAAAAAGCAAAGGAAAUUGCAAAUCUCGUAAACGGUACAAUCUUUACAAUUUCUAUCUAAACACAAAGACGAUUUUUUGUGGAAAUUGAAAAUUAUUUUAAAUUUUCGCUGCGCACGUUAAGUAGAUUCUCAACAUAUAAUACCUACUAAAUUCCUGUGUCCGAGAAAAUUCUUAUACCUUUCUCUCUGCAAUAUGCAAACCUCAAAUUCAGGCUUUCCUAUAAUAUGCUAACCUCCAAUUGAGGUUGGUCAAAAAUUUGAUGUGGUGGGAUUUGGGGACUAGUUUUGUUGAUGGUAUUUCGAUUUGUAUGGUGGCGACUGCCUUUGGAUGGCAGUGCUGGCAUUGUGUGGGUGGUUGUGGCGACCGAUUGUUGGGCGAUGGUGCUGACCAUUGAUGUGGUGGGAGUGGGAAAGUAGAAGGUGCUAAUCACUGGCCUUUCCAUUUUUCAUGUGGNNNNGUAGAUUUCUUCUUCUUCUUCUUCCUUUUUCUUUUUCAUUUUUUGUUUUUUGUUUUUGUUUUUUUUUUUUUUUAUUAAGCAUUUAUUUGGUGAGAUUAAAAUAAGAUUUUUAGUAAAUUUUGAUAAAAGUUAAUAAAAUGUAUGGUUGAAAAAUUAAGAAUCCUAUAAAAUGCGUGGUUAAUAUUAAUUAUUAACUUUGAAUUAGAUUAAAAUCUUGAUUUUUAAUUGCUAUGAAACAAGGGCUUGGUUAUUUUAUGUUAAAAAUGUAAGGUUAUAAUUUUGUUCUUCUAAAAUUAGUAAAAUUGUGGUCAAGAUCGAUUCUUUGGUCAACGAAUGGUCAUUUGGACCACUGCUGCUAAGUUCUCGAAGUUUUGAGACCUCCGCUGAUAAAAUUAAAGGUUAGAGUAAAUUCUACAAAAAAAAAAAAAAAAUGAAAGAUUAGAAAUCGUUGUUGCAAUUUUCCCAAAAUGCAAUGUCGUGUUUUCAUGGAUUUCUUAUCUGUCAAAGAUAAGAAAAAUAAUAAUAGUAGCCGAUCAUUUUAAAAUUUAUUAUUUUUCGAUUUCCAUGUUACUAACGUGGCAUUUAAAAUUUGUCAAAAUGAAUAGAAAUUGAUCUUAACUUUGCUCGAUGUAACAAAAUGGUCUCACAUUUACUUCAUUUUAGAUGAGUUGUACCAUAUAUUUUGAGUUUUCGGCCAGUCGAUGUCUAAUGUUGGUUGUUAGAAAAGAUAACAUAUUUCUUAUUGAAACAGUAGUUUAACCCGCAUUUUAAUUUUAAAAAUAAGAAAGGGAAAAAAUUUCAUAACAUUAUCUUUCCCAACCCAUGAAGAACCAAUAGGAUUCCCUGUAGGUCCCCAUGCCAUUGAUUAAUACAAAAAUGAAAAAAAUUUGAAAGAUGUGAGUGACGAUGUCGAUGAAGAGAUUAAAAGGAAGAAGUUAGAAAUAUUGAUUGGGAAUGUGAGAGACGUUUGCAAAUAAGUUGGGGGUAGACAUGUAGCGAGCGUAAGCUAGGUUGCACGUGAUGAGAAGUAACUAGGGCUGGGGUUUGCUAUUUUUAUCUAUUUUCCCGUUUCUUUUUAUUUUUUCUUUUAAUAAUUUUCCAAUGUGAAUUGAAAUUUUCCAUCCACGGCUAUAUUGUUUGUUGACUUUAAAAUCUUGUAGGAUACAGAUAUCAACAUAUACUGGUUACAUUCUCAUCUACCUGUUUCAGAAUCUGAACAUAAGAAAUCGAAGUUUGAAGCCAUCUAAGAAGGUUGUUAGGCACAUUUUACUCUUUGAUGCUCAAAUUAAUGCAAGUAAAAUAUAUAUAAAAUUAAGUUAUUUGUACUUGUUGACUUACACUUUGAUUUACCCGAUCCUACUCCUCCUCUCACAUGGAGUCGGGUUCCACGUGGAGCACCAACCCCCAUGUGAGAGGAGGAGGUUGGAUCGGGUAACUCAAAGUGUAAAAUGACAUGUACAAAUAGUAUGACUCAUAUAUAUAAGUUCAAGAAAAACAAAGUGGACAAAGAAUUUGCAAGAGGUUUGAUUGAUUGAUUUUUUAUAUACCUUUUCUUUUAUGUUCCAUGGAAUUUCAAUAGGAAAAACUAGUUUAAAGGAAAAUUGGGCCUUUAUUGAACACUCACCCCUCCAAAACAACACGUGUCGCUUUCUAAUUGGUGAAGACUUUUGAUUUGGGUACUUUGUCAUCUUUUGAUUAAUGGGGAGGUCUUGAUUCUUGUUUGAUUUUGUUUUACACUUUUUAAUGGUUUUAGUCAACUUGGUAGUCAUCAUCUUGCCACAAGAAAAGCUUCAGUCCCUCGUCAUCUUUUAGUACGUUUGUUGAACCCCCACCCAAAAAUAAAAGGGAAAAAAGAAAAAAAAGAAAAAAAAGAAAAAGAAAACACGUAUUGCCAUCUAAUUGGUAAGGACUUUGAUUUUAGCACCUCGUCAUCUAUUGAUUAAUGGCGAGGUCAUUAUCAAGCAACUGAUUCUUGUUUGAUUUUUUUUUUUUAUACUCUCUAAUGGUUUUAGCCUACUUGGUAGUUAUCCUCUUGCCACAUAGAAAAGCUUCCAUACAACAGUUCUAUAUGUAGAUAUGGUGUGAUCAUCCAUUUUAAAUCACGACGUCUAGAAUUGUGAGCCAUGCAAAAGGUAAUACCUUGACAUUCGAGAUUGUAAGAUAGAAAUAAAGUGAGUGUGUGAUGUCGAUGUGUCAAAUUUUGAAUGACACAAAUUUCAAAGUAUUGUAUUUGAGUGGACGAUCUUACAACAUGUGCAUAUAGGAUUGCCCUACUAAAUCUUCUCUCCUUUCCAUAUGACAAAGGAAUAAUCUGCAAUUCCUUUAUUUAAACAAGCAAAGUGGGUUGUGAGCAUAAACAAAUUCACUUGCUUGCGUCAAAGUAAAUAUACAUUUUGAUCUGAGAGGAAAAAUAUCAAAAAUGUAAUUAUUCAGAUAACUAAUGUAUAAACAUUACAAAUUGAUUUUUUUAGCAUUUAGUUAAUUCAAUUGUCAAGGCUAGAAUAAAAUUUACAAUCUGAGAUCUCAAAAUGAAAUACGAAGAGUUCAACAUGCAGGUUUUUAUUAUUCCAAUCAAAAAGUAACACAAAAAUUAUGCCGGACUAUGCUACACUAACCUAUGGCUUGACAGAGGCCAUGACAAAUCAAGGGGGGAAAUUAUUUUUUUAUUUGUGUGGGAUCCACAGCAUGUGAGACAAUGUCAUCCCUUCUGUUAGAAUUUUUCGGGCAUUCCAGCAUUUUCCAAUUAUGCCAACCCAAUUGCACCUCUCAUUAAAUGAAAAAUAAAUCAUCUUCCAAUCAAUAUUUAACACACGAAUACAAAUUUAUUACUUGUCUUGCAUUUUUGUACAUAACCAAGUGAUCAAUUAAAGUGGCGGGGCAAAUGAAAAAAUGAAGCGUAAGCCAAAUAUAACAUAACUAAACGCCGCCAUACAAAAGAGAUGAAGGGGCUGCUGUUUAUGAGGCGCACCGCAUUGGGUACACCACUGGUUUGACCACCGUUGCAGGUUACCGUACCUCCACCACCACUGCCGCCUCCUCCAUCGCUGGAGCAACUGUAGAACUGAGGAAGAGGCAGAUGAUUGAAAGCACAAGAACUAAUUUUGCGUGCUACAUCUAUUGUUUCUAUUCAGCAAUACCAAGAUUGGAAUUCCCUUAAGAUGGGAAAUGGAACGUUCAAGCUUAGAAUUAAUUACACUUGCAAGAAUAUUCUUGUUUAUAUUUUAUUAUUUUCAUUGGAAGCAAUUUAUAUUUUAUUAUUUGAUAGUGUAGGCUGUACACACGUCUAAGCUUGUCCCCGAAAAAAAAGAAAAAAAAAGCACACGUAUAUGCCGCCUGACCGUCCAAAUUAAAAAGAAAUCAAGACGCCUAACCGUCCAAAUUAAAAAAAGAAAUCAAGAUAUUUAUAACCGGAAAACUUCAAUGUCGUGAUAUCAUGGAGUUUUUGUUUGUCAAACAUAAUAAUAAAAUAAUAAUAAUGUUGACCUCGGAAAUAGUACCUUCCACGUGGUUAAUCGAUAGCCACUCCACGUAUUCUUCUCUGCGCACAAUCAACGCACGGUCAAAUGCACACGGUCGGAACCAAAGGAGGUGGUGGCGGCCGUAUACACUCCGACGGUCAAGUUAGACUCAGGUGAUCGGAACAAUACUAAGGUUGUGCAAAAUAAUGGAGAGCAGAAUAUAUGUUUACUUGCUAUGGAGUGCUAAGUAGAAAGAGUUUUAUUACCUCUGCCUCUUGUCAAGUCUUAGAUAUUUAUAGGUGAGGAGAGCUGUUGGAUGUGAGACACAUGUAUACAUCUGAACGGUAUGAGACAUCUGCUCAUAGACGUCAAUCAGCCGCAUCUAUAGAGUGGGCGGAUAGUUAUUUCUCCCGAGUUGAGUUGACAUAAAGUUGAUACGUCACAUCAACUAGCCUCAUGGAGACGUCAAAUCACUUUAAACCUUAGGGGCAGAAAAGAUCUUGACAAAGAUCUCAUUUUGAAAUCGGCGGCAGAUCCUUAGGCCAAGGUCCCCGGGGUUCAUUUCGCCCCGGAUUCAAGGGGCAAGGGCGCUUCGGUCAGUCCUGCAGAAUUACCCAUGCCUCGUAGUGUGAUAGCAGAUCAUCUCCAUUGGUGAAGUUACAUCGAAACCACUUCGGAUGAGCGUUCCACACCGCGCCUGAUGUGGUGGUGGACUUUCCGAAGUGUUUCAGUUGGGGGCAUAACAAAUAAUAUUACAAAAAAUCGUAUUUAGGAUUAUCUGAACUUGAUUUGAGAAAACAGGAGGGGUUAGCAUGAACACGACCUCCGAAAAAUGCUAGGGCAUUCUCAUAGCACCUAUGUUGCUUAUUUAGCGAGUAAUUAUAUAUAUAUAUAUAUAUAUAUAUAUAUAAGAAUGAGACUAUAAGGUGAGCAAUAACAAAAAAAACAUGCCAAAAUAAUGAAUUAGGCAUGAAUAUAAUAUAGCGACGGUAAGACAUGUAAUUGAAACGUCCAUGAAAUAACAACGAGUUAACCAAAUAGGAUUGGACUACAGAUGGCUUUAGAAUUCUCAUUGGGAUCAGAAAAUAGGAGACAUGGUGGAGUAGUACUGCUCAUCAUAGUUGGACAGUGAACCCUGGGAUGAACCCAUACCAGAUCGGCGACAAUCGAGAGAUGAAGUGGGAUAGUCCUACAAACCAAAAAGAAAUCGGGGUCCUUGACCUCAAGUUGAAGGUGUCCACCUCGAGGAUCAAGACGAAACUAGGGACUGCAAUGCGUACACGUUCAAGGCUAAGGUGCUCGAGCUAGAGCUCGAAAGUUAUAGUAUCAUUAGUGGCCCUGUAAACCUAAGGCCAAGUCGGGGUCAGGUGCACCACAAUCAGUCCUUGGACGUGUAAGCAACACGCAUACGUAUAAUGGUCAAAUUAUUUGAAGGGAAGUCUAUUGUCACUCAGAAAUAGUGUAGUGUCAUAUAAUAAUGAGGCAAAAGACGUGCACUAUCAUGUUUAAACCCUAUAAAUAUUCCCUCCCCAUUUUUACUUUUUACCAAACCUUGAGAAACAAAGAGCUCGUGCACUGAACCUAAAGGUAAGACCUUAGGGUAUUUUUAUUUUUUAUUUUUUUUUUCACAUAGGACAUAUGGAUAAAGGUAAGGAGAGCGAAAUAAUGAGGGUAGAAAGGUAGAGGUUAGCAACAAUAUUUGAGGCCUUGGACUCUAUUGAUGCGAGUAUAGAGGAUCUCGGGUGAGUGACCAGGAUGGAGAUGAGAUCGAGGACCCCGAAAUGAGUGAACAAGGAGAGGACGAGGAGAGCGAUGAGUUCGAAGACCCCGAGGUGAGUGAUCAAGCCGAUAAUACCUAGGAUAUACAUAUAGGAAUACCAAUUAGGCCGAGGAUAGGGAGCAUAUGCCUAGAAGUACCCGAUGCACCAUUUUUCAACCUCUAUCAAUGGUGUAAAUGACCUUAUUAUGGACAAGUUUUUGAUUUUUUUGGUCAUUUCUAUAAGUUAGACAUAUUCUCAUUAUUAUAUAUAAAACCAUGAUUAAGCCCAGGUUAUAAUAUUCUGGUUAAGGCUUGUGUUUUCUUAAUAUAUUUCAUGUAAUUCGUUAUGUACAAGCAUGAUUUGGUUGCACUAAAGUUCAUGUUGAUUUAAUUGUGUUAUGGUUCGCAUUUAAAUGGCAUCUAUGUCUGUGAUGAGCCAAUGCUAGAGGUGACAAUCGAGCCGAUCAGCUUGUCAGCUCGAUCGCUUGGGCUUGUAUUUAAACGAACUCGAGCAUAAACUAAGCCGGUUGGCUCACCCAUGGGUGAGCGGAGCCCAUGAGCUACGAGCUCGUGGCUCAUGGUGAACAUUGACCAAAAUUGUCACUUUUUUAAAAAGUCGCUGUUGAAACUUCAGUGACCAUUUCCAAUCGAUCAUUGAAAUUGCAAAUUGGCCGAUUUGACCACCUUUUUUUUUCACUCUAUAAAUACCCCAAUCCAUUUUCAAAGUUUUCACACAAUAUUUCAAUAACAAUUCACUCUCUUGCUUCUACACAAUCUACCACUACAUUUAACAUUCGUUUCUUAUUUUUUACCUUCAAUUUCAGUUACCCAUUUAACACACUACAAAUUUACUUACUUAUACUUACUAUACACUAACACUAUACAUAUUCUAUACAUUUCAUCACAACUUCAAAAUUCAUAAAUGGAUUCACACUCAUUUAUUGAGGGCUUGUUCGGCGAUGUCGAAGGCAAAUCACCUAUGAUGACGCAAAAUCAAAUUUCAGAAUGAAUUUUUGGGUCUCAACAAGUACUAAUUCUCGAAAAUAUUCUAGAUUUUAAUGCUUAUUGAAAUAGUAAUUCAAUUGAUUUGGAUGACGUUGAUGUUACUGAAGCAGAACAUGACUUAGAUAUUUCCAAUACAAGACGAAAGUGAAAGGGGAAAAAUAGGCAAAAUGUUGUGAUCACUUUAAAUUGAUUCCAAUGGAUGGUGUGGUUGAUAGAGUUAUAGAGUCUAAAGCGGUAUGUAAAUAUUAUCAAUAACAAUUGACAUGGCAGAAGGGCAACCUGAACCGUCAAUACAAAGCAUAUAACUACUGCACACUACAAUAUGAUAUUUUCUUAAUACAAACAAUUGAUUACUGAUUUGAAAAGAUAUGAGGAUGUUAUAUAUUUAAUCGUGGAUAUAUGGCAACUGCACACUACAUAGACCUACUUUGGUAUAUACAUAAAAAAUUAUUGUUUUUAAAAUUAUUGAUUUCCCUCACAAUGCUAAUAGUAUAAAUAACACUAUUAUGAACAUUAUUAGAGAAUAUUAUUGUGAGAGUAAAACGCGUUCUUUUAUGUUUGACAACGCUAGUGUUAAUAAGCCAGUCGAUAAAUUGUGCAGGGUCCUACAGCCCGAUUUCGGUGGUUUUUUAUUUCAUAUUCGUUGUAUGUGUCAUAUUUUUAAUAAUUGUGCCGGAUUGUUUAAAACAUAUUAAGAAUAAGCUUCAAAGAAUUAGGGGUACACUAAUAUAUAUCACGACUUCACCUAGUAGAUAACAAGCUUUUGAGGAAUUUUGUGUCAAUUUUGAGCUAAAUUUAGAACAAAUUUUAUGUGAAAUGUACGAAUUAUAUCAAACUGAAUAUUCACUAUGGUACUAAACAUGUGCUAACUUUUCUUUACAAUAUCUACCUGACCUUGUAAGAUGUAUAACUGGAACCUCUUACACCCCUUCAUACCUAGAGAAAUAAUAAGUUGAACUCAUUUAAGUUGUAAGAUGGACAUGAAAUUUACAAAAAUUGAAAGAUAUACUCAUUACUUAUAUUCUAAUGAAAACACUAGAACCACUUUGCUUUCAUCAACUUUAUAUUAUAUAAUCUGUAUCAUUUCAACAGUUCUUUGUCGCGUCAACUUCUUUGUCUUACGUUAUUGGUUCAAUGUUUGAGAUCGUUGAGUUGGAAAACAAAUAAAAAAAUUAAAAAAAAAAAUCAAUACAACGACACAAAGUGACAUUACUAAGAAGAAAUCAACCAUAAUAUUGUUCUGUUUGUAAAAAUGAUUAUAAGCAAUCACUUUACAAAAAUUGAGAGAUAUACUCAUUACUUAUAUUCUAAUGAAAACACUAGAACCACUUUGCUUUCAUCAACUUUAUAUUAUAUAAUCUGUAUCAUUUCAACAGUUCUUUGUCGCGUCAACUUCUUUGUCUUACGUUAUUGGUUCAAUGUUUGAGAUCGUUGAGUUGGAAAACAAAUAAAAAAAUUUUAAAAAAAAAUCAAUACAACGACACAAAGUGACAUUACUAAGAAGAAAUCAACCAUAAUAUUGUUCUGUUUGUAAAAAUGAUUAUAAGCAAUCAUGUCUCAUUCGUGAUUGAGAAGUAAUAACUUUAACUUAUUUAAGUUGUAAGAUGAAGAUGAUAUUUAGAAAAAUUGAGAGAUAUGCUUAUUAUUUAUAUUUUAAUAAAAUAAUAUAAUCAAAUGUACUUUCAUUAACUCUAUAUCAUUUGAUCUAUAUCAUUUCAACCAUUCUUUGUCAAGUGAUCAACAAUUUCUGUUUUUCAUACGUUAGGGGUUCAACAUUUGAGAUCAUUUCAUUGGAAACAAAUCGAAAUAUAGAAGAAAUCAAUAGAACGACACAAGUGACAUUACUAAGAAGAAAACAGUCUUUGUGUUGUUCUAUUUUAAACAUGCUUAUAAGUAGCUACGUCCUAUCCGUGCCUCGAGAAACAAUAAAAUGAACUCAUUUAGUUGUAAAUGAAAAUGACACUUACAAAAGUUGAGAGAUAUGCUCUUUACUUUUAUUUUAUUGAAACUAAUAAAAACACUUGUACAUUCAUAUAUUUUAUAUAAUAUAAUUUAUGUCAUUUCAAUCGUUUUUGUCACAUGAUCAACUUUUAUGUCUUACAUACAUUAAGGUUCCAAUGCUUGAGACCGCUAUGUUGGAAACAAAUCAAAAUAUAGAAGUAAUCGACACGAAAUAAGUGACGUUACUGAGAAGAAAAUGGCUCGUGUCCUUCUAUUUUUAAAUACGAUUAUAAAUUGCCAAAACUCAUCUGUGUCUCGAGAAAUAAUAAGUUAAUUCAUUUAAGUUAUAAAUAACAGAUAAUGAAUGUGCUGCCCUUUUUUAUUAUAACAACCAUAGUGUCGUUCUACACUGCAGAUAAUGGUUGUAGUGCUGUUAUCAUUUGAUAGUUGUAGAAGCACAAAAAUGCAGUAAAUACAAAAACCAAUAAGUUCUAAAAUAUCAUUCCAUAAUAAAUUCAAUAAUAAAAGUAUAAUUACAUGAGAUUUGUAAAAAAUACAUUUCGUCCUUCCUCAAUGCAAUUGAAAUUUAAAUGUAGAUAAUAUGGUAAUCAAACUAUUGUUCAAAUGUCCAAAAGAUAUCCAAAAUAGGUGAAAAAUAUAAUGUAGAACGUGAUUUUACGGUAGAAAUCGUGAAAGCCAAAGAGAAGAAAACGGUUGGUUGUGAUUUUGGGGCCCUAAAAUUAAAUUGGGAAUGUAAUUUGAAUUGAGGAAUUUAGUUGAAUUGAAAAGGGUGUUAAUGUCUUUUCCAAUGAUGGGGAUAUUUAUGACAUUUGACAUUGUUUAUCAAUUGUAUUUUAUAAUUAGAGGCCAUUUGACCAAGAAACAAUGGGAGGAUAUUAUUUAACCAAAGACAUGGUUUGAUUAGGCUAUUUAACCAAUUCUCCCUUUUUUCUAUUUCUUAUUGCUUUUAUUGACUUUCCAUUAAAAUGACUUGAAUCGACAUUGUUCAUCGAGGACUAUUGCCACAAACCUGUAAGUUUAGGACAUCUCCUGCGAAAAAGAAAAGGACAAAAAAAUGAGAGGCCAAGGACCUAUUUGUUACAUCAUGAUGAAAAGGUUGGAAACCUUAGUAUUAACUUAUCUAAAAUGAAAAUUAAGAUUUAGUUCCAUGAGUUAGCUCCUAAAGCUGUUGCUAUUAGGCACUUUGUAGUUCUUAGUUAACAAGAAAGUAAAUGAUGUAUUUUCAAUUGUGGUCUUAAUUUUUCAUUGGUUUUCGUUUUCUCUCCUUUAAAUACAUAAAAUCACGGAUUAAAUGGGAUUUACGUGUAGCGACGAUGUUGUUUCGACAAUUUUCUUGUCAAUUUUUUAUGAGAAAAGAUGAAUAAAAUUAACAUUCACAUAUCGGUUGCCUUCACCGUAUUCACACUUAAUGGACUUGUUGUCAAAGUGCAACGAGAGCUGCAUAAUCUUUGUCCGUUGAGAAUAAUGAUUUUCUCAUUUAACAAAUCAUACAUAAGAUAAUCGCAAUCAACUAAUGUAUCAUCAAUAAUUCCGUAAAAACUUUUGUAUUUUUGUACAAAUAAUGUAUAAAUUAAAUAGGUGUGGAAAGUGAUAAUUAAACCUACUUCAAUAAUGCAACCCAAGAAAUAAAGCAUAAACUAAGUACGGCAUACUUAAACAUGACCAUGUUAUAGAGGUAGAUGGGCUGCUAUUUUUGGUGUGGCCACUUGGAUUGCCAUUUAGUGGACGCACCACACCACCGCCACCACCAACGCCGCCACCCCUUGCUCCACCGCCUCCACGACCAACUGCAGUGGUGAGGAGGAGGCAAAUUAUUGUAAGCACGAAAGCAUAUUUUAUAGCGCGCUGCAUCUCUUCAAUGUCUAUUAAAAAGCUCACAAGAAUUGAGUUUUUCCUUUUUCUGGAGAAUAAACUGAAUUUUGAAACUCUCCUGCUGCUGGUGCCCUCAGAUCUCUGAUUCAUGGAUCUUAUAUAUACAGCAGUAGCACACGACAACGCGGUGCGGCGGAAAACUCCACGAAGUAUUGGUUGAAAAUCAAAAUAGGCGUGUCUCAUAGUUAUACAAAUGGCGGAAAGUCUCUAUCAUGAUAGUCAAAAAGUUACAGCUCCUAAAUUAAGGGUGCAAUUUGGUAUUAAUUUCCAUUCAUUUUCACCGCAAGUCUGAAACAAUUUAUUAAUAAUCUCCCAUGUGCACAAAUUUCAUUAAAUUUUAAUAUGGAUAUACUAGAAAUUUUCGCAGCCCCGUAUGGAAAGCCAGCAUUCUCUUAUCACUUUUUAUUUGACAUGUAUAUUAAAUAAAUGACACUGAAGUUUAAUUAAGAUUCAUAAAAAAAUAUAUACACACACUUAUAUGAUGAAAAGUGGCCGAAAGUAUAGACUUUCAAUACUGUUUGAUCGCCUUUAAUUUACUUUAAUUUAUUUCUUAUAUUUAUUUUCAACAAUACAUUCAUAUAAUAAAAUAUACUACAUGUAAAUUCAAAACUUCUUCCUACUUUUUAAUCAUAUAUUCUCCAAAAAAAAAAAAAAAAAUACUAUUCACAACAAAUGUUUUUUUUUUUUUUUUUUAAUUAAAGUUCACAAAAUAGGGGCUACGAGAGUACUAAAGUUUUUUCAAAUAUAGGUGAUCAUGUUUAAUAAAACUUUUGAUAAAAGUUUUUAUAAACUUUGAUAAAAGUUAUUAAAAUAUAUAGCCAUUGUUCUAUAAAAAUUUUAAUCUUUAAUCUAAACCAAAGUCAAUUAAUUUUAAUAAUACAUUUUAUGGGAUUCAUAAUUUUUUUCACCACAUAUUUCAUUAACUUUUAUCAAAAUGCACUAAAAAUUUAAUUUUAAUUUUGACCAAAUAGAAACAUAAUUAAAAAAAAAUGAUAAAAUUUUGAAUCUCAUUAAAAUUGUAGCUAAAAUUUAUUAUUAACUUUUGCACUAUCAUUUAAUUUUUUUUAAAACUAUUUCAAUAAACGCACAAUAAAGGACGAAGGGUGAGUACGAGUUUCCUUAAAAAUGGACUCAUUUGUUAGUGUCGAUUUGAUUUGUGUCUUAGUUUUUAAUUUUGAGUUUUGAACUCAUUUUGAUGUUCUGUUUUGAGUGUUUAUUUUAAGAUUGCUAAAAAAGUGAUUGGUUAAUUAUUUCGAAAAAUUAGUUUUCAAAAUAGAAAACACGUUUGGCUUGAAAUUUUGAAAAGUCAUUUUAUGAAAUUUUAUUCUACAAAAUCUGAUAAUUUCUUUAGUGAUAUUCCACUAUUAUUUUCUCUUCUCUUUCCUCUCCUGGUUGCUUGGAAAGCAUCACCCCCUUUGUGUCCUUUGUAGGUUAGAAGAAGGGUAAUCGGAGUGGGUAGAAAUAGGCAAUCUACAAUUUGGAUGGCCUAAGUUAUUGAGUUGGAUUUAGUUAGUUGAAUGGUGAUAUUAGUUAGCCAAUUUGUUUUUUACUUUUGCCCAUGUGUUAGAGGCCCAUUUAGAGUGAGAGAUUGGCCCAAAAAGUGACCUAAUGUUUGGGAGAGAUUUCUACCAUUGUUGUUUGUUCUUCUUCUUCCUACUCAUUCUAAUACCACUACCAUCAUUCUCCUUUGUGGGGUUGAGAGGACUUGUUGCAACCAAAGUGAAUGCAACGUAUAGUUAAGAAAUCUAUGAUUUUUGGGUUUUAAAACGGGUUGAAAAAGCCUUGGUGAUUGUGGUGUUCAUUUGGUUAAUUUUUCUGAGAUCAUAUCAAGAUUUCUCCAAAAAAUGGUAUUAGAGCUUGUAUAGUUAAGAAAUCUAUGAUUUUUGGGUUUUAAAACGGGUUGAAAAAGGCUGAAAACAAAGUUGGAAACCGGGUAGAGAGAUGGAUAAAAUUUUGGGAUUUUAUUUCAAAGCUAUUGAAAUUGUUUUGGUGUUUUUCUACCAAACCACUUAUCUGUUGGAGAAACAGAGACCAUUGAUGGACUUGGCAGGGCGGGGCUCAUUAGGGUGGCUAGCACGUGAGGUUCAACAUCGACCCGCAGAAUGUCGGUGAGGCCCGUGACGACACGUCAAGAAGAUUCCGCCAAUGGCAUCAAAAGAUAAUUUGUUGCCGACAACGAGACAGACUCUGUGAUGUUGUCGAAUUUUUAUUUCAAGCAGUAUAGUGAAAUCUAGAUGACUUUGCCCAUCGAUGUUCGGGUGUCGGGUACCAUUUUGUAUUGCUGGGGUUGCUGAAAAUUUUAGGAUGAAUAGUGGCGGUAGCCAGGGAUGACAAUCGGGCUCGUCGGCUCGGGGCUAGGUAGACCCGAGCCUAGGCUCGGGCCGAGCCCCAUUUUGGGGACCCUGGCUUUGCUCGAGCCGGCCCGUGAACUCGAAAGCUUUUUUAAAAAAAAAAAAAAUUUGAGGCUGCCUUGUCUUCAAGGAAGCAAUUUAGGGAAAAUAAAUAAAUAAAUAAAUAAAAAUAAAAGAAGGGAGAAAACGAGCCUGCCCAGCUCGGGUCGAGCCUUUUUUUUGGCCGAGAGCCCGCAAAAAAGCUCGAUCAUUUUAACCGAGCCGAGCCCGAGUCAAAACUUUAAGCUCGCGAGCAGGCUCGGCCCGGCUCGUUUACAUCCCUAGCGGUAGCCCUAAAGUAGUGAAUUCUCAUCUUUCCUAGUAGAUAUUGUCCGUCUGGUAUCAUAUUGUUUGCCUUUUAUUAUUGCUGUAGAGACUUGUGUAGCAUGGUCAUUUAUUUUAUCAUUAGAAAUCGUGUGGGGGUGAUGUUAGGUUUGGGUUACCUUGAAAGGGUAACCAUUGCCCAUUGUUAAACUUAGGAAUUACUUGUUAAUUAUUCGCCAUAAAUUAUUUAUGAAUUUAUUGCCAAAUAAUUUUUUCACUGUUACAAUUGCAAGUGACCUUAAGAAAGCUUUGUUUGACUAUUCUGUUGGAAUAUGUUGAUACUUUGUGUGCGGAUGUUGUUGGUUGUAUUUUGUGUUUUGGCAUUUUUUCAUAAAAUGACGACACAUUUUGAGUUCCUUUUUUUUUAAAUGGAAAAAAUGUGAGUUUUUCAAUUUGACUAAAUGAAUUUAUUUAUUUUAUUAUUAUUAUUAUUAUCAUCAUCAUCAUCAUCAUCAUCAUCAUCUUAAUAAAAUUGUUGAAGGCAAAUAUAAGUCUAAGACAAAUGCAAAAAGUAAUAUGUGUUUUAACUGCGGUAAAUUAGGACAUGGUGAAAUAGACUGUCAUAGGAAUGAUAAUAAAAGGAAAGUAGUGAGACGAAUGUUGCCACUAGGUCGAGUUAUGACUCAAGUGAGGUUUAUUGAGAGUAAACUGCGUUACUACAUGUGCAUCUAUAUAUAAUAUUUUCUGCAUGUGUGUGAUUGCUUAAUUCUGUUGCAUUGAUAUGUUAUACUUUCAAUUUGUUUGUGUAUGUAAUUGGGUGGUCUUAUUACUUUGUGUAAUGUGUUUCCAUGCACAAUGGGUUAAGAUCUAUAGAGUACUUAUUUUACCAUGUUGGCGGUGUGAGCUCUGUGAGUGGUGUAUGAGAGUGUGGUAGUGAGAAGAAAGAUGGGUGACCUUUUUCUCCUUUAUCUUUGUGAGCCCGCGUAGUUCGUGAGAUCAUGUGAGACAGCCAUGCUAAGGUUAUCUUUUUUUCUCGUUGUGAGCAUCCUUUGUAAGUGUAGUGAAGUAACCAACUCUCUCUUCUAUUCUCUUUGUUAACGUCAUCUUCACCCUUCUCUUAUGGGAUAAAUUAUUCAUAAAUUUUUUGAGCAUUGGUGUUUGAGUAACUUUGUGGUUCGUAGAUCAAUUUAAAUUGAGCCCUAACUUUUAUGGUUGCCAAAGAUGUUAUUUUUGCCAUAGUAGGGUUUGAGAUGCAUUAGUAGUAAGUGUGAGGUUGUCUUUUGGUAAUGUGGGGUAUAUAUACCUAGGGGUACAUUGGUGAUUUGUACUGGGAAGUGGAAUGUGAUAUUUGGAUCACGAGUCAAGAGGUGAUUAAACGUUGAAAUUCGUUAUCUGUGAAGACUCUGAUCAAGUAGAGUGUAAGAGAGACAUUCAAAUCACUUCUAUUAGGUGUAGAUCCAUUAUCUACUUAGGUUGAGAGAAGUGAGGUGAUGAUAGAGGAUAAUCCCUGGACUUUGGAUCUAUAGUGAUUUACCAGUUAGACAUGAGUUAGUAACCAAUCUAAUGAGAAAUGGUGGCCGAUUGAGAAGAGAUAUGUGUUCUCGAGGUGCAAGUAAUAUAGAAUGGAACAGGAUAAGCGAGGUGAAAUAUUUUCGUAGAGUCAUUUAUGCAUUUAUUGCACAUGUGUUGGUCGUUUGAUUGAUUAAUUUGAUGUUAGUUUGUUGUUUUACUUUUUUUUUGGAUAAGGUAAGUAUAUUAUAUCCAAAGUGUAAAAAUAAAGUACAAAUCACAGGGGCAUACCCCAGGAAACAAUGCUAGGAAUAAAUGCCUUCCUAACAACAAUAACAGAAACCUAAAUUAGUGCUCAUAUCCUAAUCACGACAAUAAAAAAUAUUCGCAGAAAAACUCCAAGAGCGUUGGAGCCACCUAUUCUCAUUAGAUGGAACCAAGCCCCUACAUGAAUUCACUCGUGCACAAAUAGAGAAAAUAAUAUCUUGAAUAAUAGCAAACUCAUGUUUAGGAGCCUCCCCAUAGGUCCUAGAAUUGCGCUCACGCCAAAUAGCAUAAAUCGAAGCUGCAAACAUCAACUGAAUAACGAUGGAAGACAAUGACUUCCCACGAAAUUGUUCCAUCCAAGAAAGAGUAUCUGGCCAACGCCGUUGAACCCAAGGCAAGUUACAUUUCGCAUGCAAAGUAUUCCAAACACGCUCAGAAAAUGGGCAAGUAAAGAAAAGAUUAUUCAAAUCCUCCACUGAACAAUCACACAGCACACAACGCAUAGACUGUACCAAACCAAAGCGAAGAAGCUUUGUCUGUGUAUAGAUGUCACCUUGAAUAGCUAGCCAAAGGAUGAAUGCAUGACGUGGAAUACAUUUAGGGAACCAAACAAUAUGAUACCAAGCUACCCUAUGGCAGCAAAGUCGAAGAGACUCCCAAGCACUCCGAACAAAGAACACUCCCAGUGCAUCAAUCUCCCAUCAUAAUACAUCUUCUCUAUUACUAUCCGGCCAAAAAGUGGCAAGCGUAUCUCGCAUUAAGUCAGAUAAAGCUGGGGAACGAACUGAUGGCCAUCUCUAAGUAUCACCCUCAACAAUAACAGCCACCUUAGCUAGUCUACUCAAUUUGGAUUCACGAAUUAUCCUCUCUCCAAAAAAUCUUCUCUAAAGGGCCAAGAGGAUGUCAAUUAUCAUACCAAAGCGAGGCACUUCUACCAUUACCAAUUCUGAAUUUCAUUUUGUCCCUUCCUAUAUCCCAGAGUCCAAGAAUCUUCCUCCAACUCCAAGAGAAAUCCCUAGGACACUUCAAUUCCCAAAUGCUCCAUCCUUUAAGUAAAUAACAAUGUGCCCAUGAAACCUAAAGAGAGGAGGCAGAAUCCGUACAAAGGGACCAAAGGUACUUUAACAUGGCAGCCUUAUUCCAAAUCUCCAAGCUCCAUAGACCCAAACCGCCCUCUUCCUUAGGCAUAUAGAUUUUUGCCCAAGCCACUUUAGCCCCCACUGAUGCCAAGGUCACUACUCUUCCAUAAGAAGGCCCGUAGUGAAUUUUCCACUUGCUUGAUCACAGCCUUAGGUAAAAGAAAUACAAAGGACCAAUAGACCUAAAUAGAAAAUAAUACUGACUUAAUAAGUUGUAACCUGCCUGCAUAGGAGAGCGCUCGACAAGUCCAACUCUUAGCCCUAGCUAUAAUACGGUCCACCAGUUUCUUACAAUCCAAAGCCCUCAAUUUGGUAGAGAUAAGCGAAACACCAAGAUAACGUACCGGUAACACGCCUUCCUUAUACCCCAAGACAUCAAGCAACUGAUCCUUAAGAUAUGAAGAAACACCACUGGCAAAUAGAUUACUCUUAUCUAAAUUAGGAAUAAGUCCAAAAAGAGCUUUGAAUCGAUUAAUGCAUUUUCCAAUGAGAGAAACUGAACCAACCUCAGCCCUACAAAAGACCAUAAGAUCAUCAGCAAAAUACAAGUGGGUGAUCUUCUCCUUCUCACACCUCCAGUGGUAUUUAAAGUCCUAUUCAGAAACCAUCAACCCCAUUAAACCUGAGAAGACCUCCAUUGCCAAGACAAACAAAUAGGGUGACAAAGGAUCUCCUUGCCUCAAACCUCACCCGCCCGCAAAGAAACCAUGCAGCUCCCCAUUAAUGGAAAUCGAAGAACGAGUGGUAGUGACACACUCAAUAAUCCACCUAACAACUCUCUCGGGAAAACCAAUCACCCUAAAAACCGCAAAGAGGAAAUCCCAAUGAAUAGAAUCAUAUGCUUUCAUGAGAUCAAUUUUAAGAGCACACCUAGGUAAUCCUCCCAUGCGGUGAUCAUUCCUCAACAAUUCUUGGGAAAGAAGGAUAUUAUCACUAAUAUGCCGUCCUUUAACAAAUGCAGUUUGUUGGGGCCCACAAUGUCUGGGAGCACCGUUUUAACUCUAUUGGCAAUAAGCUUAGCAAUACAUUUAUAAAUAGUAUUGCAACAAGAGAUAGACCUAAAGUCCUUUACCUGAGAAGGAUUAUGAACCUUAGGGACCAAUGAGAUGGAAGUAGCAUUAACUUGCUUCAAUAGAUGUCCCGAGUCAAAAAAAGGACUUGAUUGCACAUAAGACAUCAUUUCCCACAAUACUCCAAGUCCUCCUGAUGAAAACUGCAUUAAAACCAUAUGGCCCUGGAGCCUUGUUGUCUUUCAAAGAGAACAAAACCUCUUUAAUCUCCUCAAAUGACACAUCUCUAUCAAGGCUUUCAUUCUACACUGCUGAUAUACUCUUAGGAAGAGCUUUUCGAAGCAAGUCCAUAUCUAGACUCUCACCACUAGACUGUUGACCAAGGAGAUUUUGAUAGAACGCAACAAUGACUUCACUGAUCUCAUGUGGCUCCUCCACUCUAGUACCAUCAUCUUUACAAAUAGAAACCAUCUUACUUUUGCCAUAGUGACUUUUCAAAACCUUGAAGAAGAAAGCAGUAUUCUGGUCACCUAAAUUCAGCCAUUUAACACGAGAUUUUUGUCUCAAAAAGCCUUCUUCAGCCCUACUCAACUCACAAAAUUCCUUUUGUAACCGAGCCUCUUCCCUAUGUAACGAUGAAUCCAAAGGCGAAUGUUGAAUCAAACACUGAACAUGUUCUAUGUCAGUCCGAGCUUGAGUAACUCUCGUAGGAAGUUUUGAAAAAUGCUCCUUAUUAAAAUGUUUCAAGGCGAGCUUCAGUUUUUUCAACUUCGAACACAAACAAAACAUAGGGGUUCCCACGACUGCUUCACCCCAUACCUGAGCCACCAAAGGAAUGAUAUCCGGAUGACCCAUCCAAAAAUCAAAGAAACGGAAUGGAAUCUUUCUACGCGGUAAUUCUGCAAGUUUAACAACCAUAGGAGAAUGAUCCGACACUCCAGCAGUAAGAAAUUUAGCUACCGAUCCAUGAAAUUUGUCUUCCCACAUCGAAUUCACCAAUACACAAUCUAGUUUCUUGAGAGUAGGAUCAGAUACACGUUUACUAGUCCAUGUAUAUAAAUAGCCUUCAAACUUCAAAUCAUCCAACCCCACAGUCGCCAUGCAAUUCCCAAGAUCAUUUUGCCACGUAGGUCAAGAAGACGAACCACCUGCCACUUCUAAAGGGGAGAGAACAGAAUUGAAGUCCCCCAUGACCACCAUGGCAAAUAUGUGAAACCUCCAUGCCUAACUACUAAAUCAUCCCAUAGAUCAAGACGCUUAACUGGGAUAUUAUCCCCAUAUACCACUGACACCGCACAACUCCAUUUACUAUUACACGCAUUAACACUAACAUGGAUAGCUUGAGCAGAGGAUCCCACCAACAAGACAUCUACAUCAUUUAGAUUCCAACAUAUCCAAAUUUUGCAUGAGCAUAUUUGAAAAGAUUUGUGUGUUAUCCUAUGUUAUAUUUUCAUUGCAUGUUUAUUUGCUCUUGAUUGUUUUUAGUUAUUAUAUGCUUCUACUUGUGUGUAUUUAUUUAUUUUUUAUUAUUAUUAUUAUUAUUAUUAUUAUUAUUAUUAUUAUUAUUAUUAUUAUUAUUAUUAUUAUUAUUAUUAUUAUUAUUAUAACCUUAGCCCUGAUUAUAUGUAGCAAGUAUGGUAUGUGUUUCAAGUUCGAAAAACAAGUUAAGGUCCGUGAUUCCAAUUUUAUUGGUUACUUUGAUUAUGCGAGUAUAAACUUUGUGUUUUAGUUGCUUACAAGUUGAUUGGGUAUCAAUGUGAAAAUUUGUUGGGUUUUGAUACCCAAUAAGUCCCGACGAUGAUUUAAAACAGAUGUCGAAUAAUUUAUCGACACCAUAUACUUGGCUUGACCUAGAAACAACCUACACUUGUGGAUGGUCCAAAUUAUUGAGUUGGAUUUAGUUAGUCGAAUGGUGAUAUUAGUUAGCCAAUUUAUUCUUUAACUUUGCCCUUUAGUUAUUUAUAGUGAGAGAUUGGCCCAAAAAGUGACCUAAUGUUUAGCAUUUAUAUAUCCAUUAUACAGCCGUGUGAUGGGGGUGUGUGUGUGUAGAGUGUAAGAAGGAAAAGUAGAGAGGGGACAGCCGGCUUGGGGGAAAAUUGGGAAAGAUUUCCACCAUUGUCGUCAUUUCUUCUUCUUCCUACUCUUGCUAAUACUAUCACCAUUAUUUUUUCUUUGUGGGGUUAAGAGGACUUGUGACAAUCAAAGUGGAGGUGAGGUUUUGGAUCAAGAUUAGAUAAUUGUGGUGUUCGUUUGGUUGAUUUUCUAAGCCUGGAUCAAAAUAUCUCCAAGAUUUUCGUGACAAAGACCAAAUACAAUUUCAGUGUUUUUCAAAAUUGAAAACUAAAAAUAACAAACCAAAUGCAUGCUUAAUUUCUGAGGUCUGAUUUCCAGAUAUUUCACAUCAAUGCACCAAUAUCUUUUAAGUUGGUUGGGAAUCACGUUACUCACCAGGGCUAUGAUUGGAAACAAAAUUCACGGCCAAACGAAGUCGUUUUUGAUGAGGAGAGGGAAAACCCCUCCCUAACGCUGGGCAAGAUCAAUAAAUAAGAAGCUUCGCGGUAAAGUAGACUUAUCUAAUUGGGGAACUUAUAGGUUGAACACAAAUACGUUAAUUUUUUGUUCACUUCGAUAUUUACAUAACUUGAAUUAUUUGCUAAUGAACUCAUGUUCUCUUGUCCAUAAAAGGAAGUUUUAUCUUAUCUACUUUGAAGAGAUCUUUAUUUAAGGUUAUCAUAUUAGGAGAGAAUCGUAAGUAAGGUUCACUUGUCACAUCAACAAGUGGACACCUUAUCCCGUCCUCAUGGACAGGAGAACAAUUUCUUUUGUUGAUAUUUGUUUUAUGGAUCAAAUAUAUGCAGUCAUCUAAAUUCCAAUUCUGUGACUUCUGUCACAGUUACGUUAAAUGCUCACAUGUUCAUCUUAUCAACACCAAUUCCAUGUGGCAAACUGGCGAGAGAUUUUUGUGCACACUCAACGUUUGUUAAUGGAUUUGUUGUCAAAGAGCAACGAGAAAGCAUAAUCUUUGUCCAUCCAGAAUAAUGAUUUUCACAUUUCACAAAUCGUACAUAAGAUUAUCGUAAUUAACUACUGUAUCAACAAUAAUUCCAUUAAAACUUUUGUAUUUUUGUACAAAAAAUAUACAAAUUAAAUCGUUGUUAAAAUUGAUAAUUAAUUCCUAAAAUCUACUUUAAUAAUGCAACCCAAGAAAUAAAGUAUAAACUAAGUACGCCAUACUUAAAGACGACAGUGCUAUAGAGGUAGAUGGGCUGCUGUUACUGGAGUGGCGGUUUGGAUUGCCAUUGAUUAGUGGACGCGUCACAGUUCUUGUUCCACCACCGCUGCCUCGACCAAUGCCGCCACCCCUUGCUCCACCGCCUCCACGAGCAACUGCAGAGGUGAGGAGGAGGCAAAUCAUUGAAAGAACAAGAACAUAUUUUAAAGCGUUCUGCAUCUUAUCAAUGUCUAUUAAAAAGCUCCCACGAACUAAUUUUUUUUUUUUUAUAUGAGAAUUAAAUGAGUGUUGAAACUCCGCCUUCUGCUGGUCUGCCCUUUUCUCUCUGAUUCAUGGAUAAUAUAUACAGCACAGCAGUAGCACACAGUAG